GGAAUUAAGUUCAAGGCAUUGCCGGAUGCAUGCUUGCUUGACAUAAGAGCCUGGAAGGAAAAUGAGAAUCCAGUCAAGAAAGGUGAGUUACAUAUGCCACCACUUGAAAUCGACAACAGCACCGAAUGUCUCUUUCGAAACCUCAUGGCCUUGGAACAGUGUCGUUAUCCAACAGAAGAGUUUAUCUGCCGUUAUGUUAAGCUAUUGGAUUUUCUUGUGGACGAUAAAAAGGAUGUGGAUUUACUCAUUGAAAAUAAGGUUAUUGUUAGCAGGCUUGGUGACAGUAAAGCUGUGGCGGAGCUUAUUAACAAACUUUGCCUAGAAAUAGUAGAAGUUACUUCUGGUUAUGAUGCUCUCUCCCAACUUCUGAAUGAUUACUACGAGAGCUCUUGGAACAAAAACAAGGCAUACUUGGUUAGUGUGUAUUUCCACAAUGUUUGGAUUGGUACUGGAACUGUUAUUGGAUUAAUCAUCCUAGCCAUCACCGUGACGCGGUUUAUCCUAUUCUUUUUCCGCUAGUAUUCUAUGUUUUUGCUAUAAAGAAAAGGCUCGACCUCGACAUCUCUAUAAAAGAAGAAGACAUGGAUGCUAGUUGAGCUCCAAGCUUCUUGUUGGCUUUCCUCCAAAUAAAUUUGUAUCGCUCUGACUCACCGUGUCGCUCCUACUGUUGUGUAUGUGGCCGUGCCUGUAGAAUUUUAGUUUCCCUUGAAGUUAAUAAAUCUUGUCAUUCCUGUUGUAAGGUAACAACAACUAUUAUUGAACUUGAAGGUUUUCAUUAACAAGGAUAUUGUCAAUGUAUUGCGGUUUGCAUCAUUUCCACAUCUUUAUCGCCACUAAAUAAAACAUGUACGUAAAAUGUUUGCUCGUCUUUUUCUUCCUUUUCUUUUAGUUGCGUGGACAAAAACAAAAUGGUGCUAACCACCUGGCCUGAGAAAGAUGACAGAACCGGGUAGGAUCUGAAGUGGGGCAGCUAUACUUUAAUGCUAUACUUUAAUAAAGGUGUCAGUUUAGGUGAUCAAUCAAUGAAUUCUUAAAUAAAAUAUACGACAAAUUGCAAUGCACUUUCACAAGCUCUCGUUCGUUGGUUUCUUGAUUUUUUUUGUGUUAAAAAAGCAAACAGACCUCUAUGGGCUACAAUACAACACUGAACCUGAUGUUCGAGAAACACCGAGUUCAGUGGGCUCUCUGACACGUAAUAUUUCGAAACAUAUGAUCACGUUACUGCUUAUUGAGUUAGAUGAUCGGAACAUCUGUCAUCCGUUUCAGUCGAGUUUUUGAAUAAUUACAAGAGCUGAUAGAGUCAAGAUAUCAAAACUAUGUCAAGAUAUUUUACUAUCUGUCGUCCCCAAUUUUACAGAAUAUGCAUCCCAAAGGCACCGGAGAAAGUUCUUGUUCUUUACCUUUCAUGUUUCAUUCCCUUGCUUUUUAUGAAAAGUAGCCAGCUAAAAGUCGGACCACCUCACUUUAAGAAGAGGCCCUACUUCUUCCAUCUUCAAUGUCUUUACCCAUUUCAAGUCCUUAUCUACUCAGGCCUAUCUACUUAGGCCAUUAUUUUCAUGUGUUGCAGUGAAAAACGAAUGCAUGAUUGCAAUUUAACUUGCGGGGGUAAUUAAGAUUACAAUGUACAGACAACCUAUUCAUGGGUCCCGGGGUUCCAUGGUUUUCUUUAUCUGUAUUUAUUAGGAAGAAAAAUGACAGAACCUCGAAAGCCGAUAGAGAGGUUUUUUAGCCAAAAAUUAGAAUUUCAUCUUCACCCGAUUGACCGAUUGAUAUUGACUCAAACCAAUACGAAGUGUUAGGUUUUUAUAGAUAAUUAGCUUCUCAUGGAGAUAAUAUACAAAGUUAAUUUGUUCAUUUCAUUAAAUUUGAAAAGGUAAAUGGUAAUUUUCUAGAUUAUAGCAAGUAACUAUAAUUAAUUGAAAUGAUGGUGCUAAUUUUGGUUCACAAAAACAAAUGGAUAAUCUUGCAUAGAUCGAUAUUAGGGUGAACAAUAUUUUUUAAAAAAAUAUGAAUGAACCAAAUUAAUAUUUUGAAUUUUUUAUAAAAAAAUAAUUACCAAUUUUAAAAGAUGAAUAAAAUAUUUUUGUAAUUAUUAUUAUUAUUGUGGUUAUUAUUAUUAUUCAUAUAUUAAUAUCUCUUCAAAAAAUGUCAAAAGUAGAAACAUAUUUCCACCUAAGCCAGAAAAUAUGAAAAGAAGAAAAGAAAAGCUNNNNNNNNNNNNNNNNNNNNNNNNNNNNNNNNNNNNNNNNNNNNNNNNNNNNNNNNNNNNNNNNNNNNNNNNNNNNNNNNNNNNNNNNNNNNNNNNNNNNAAAGCAUGAUUUAUAAUCCCUUUAUUAGUGGUCAAAUGUUCUUAAUGUUGAAUCUUGUUUUUGUGUUUCAAAAAUGUAUUUUUUUAAAAAAAAAAAUUUAAUUUUUUUAUUUGUUUUAAAUUUAUUUAGAUUGUUUUGAUGUGUUAAUGUCAAAAAUAAUUUUUUAAAAAUAAAAAAUAUUAUUUUAAUAUAUUUAUAAAUAAAAAAUAUUUUUAAAAACCAAACAUUACUACACCACCAAACACCACAUUAACCAAUAUGUUAUAAAAAAUCUCAAGGGUCCAUUUCAUAGUAGUGGUAUGACACAGUUAGCAAAUUGUGUCUUUAAAUAAAAUAAAAAUAAAAAUAAAAAUAAAGUACCCAAUCCUAUCCCAGAUAGUGACUCUCCAGCUCCACCUUUAAAAUAAGCCAAGCUACCUCACCUAGUUUUCACCUAGUUUUAAAACUAUAAUAAUAACGUUUAUUCUUACGUUAACCUUGAUUAACCGGGGUUGACCCUCUAACUUUUGAUCUAGGUCUUGCCCUGGGUCAAUCAUUUAGUCGAGUUUUAAAAUUAUAAUAAUAACUAUUUUUAUCCUUAUAUUGACUUAAGUCAAUGAUUAAUCUAACAUAUGAUUGGCUGUAGGUCGACCCUCGAGUAGGGUUUUAAAAAUAUGAUACCAGCUAUCUUUUAUCCUUACGUUAAUGUGGGUCAAUGGUCAACCCGAGCCUGACCCCGAGUCAGGUUUUAAAAUUAUGAUAAUAAUUAUUUUUACCCUUACAUUAACCCGAGUCACUGAUCAACCCUACCCGAGACCGGAGCCUAGCCCCGGAUAGACCUCUAAGUAGAGUUUUGAAACUAUGAUAACAACUACUUUUGUUCUUAUGUUAACCCGGUUAAUGGUCAACCCGAUCCAUGACUCGGGCCUUGCCGUGACCUGGGUCGACCUUCUUGUCGGAUUUUAAAACUAUGAUAAUAAUCAUUUUUUAUCUUUACGUUGACCUGAAUCAACCAUGUUAUAAAUAUUAAGUGAAUAUAUAUAUAUAUAUAUAUAUAUAUAUAUAUAUAUAUAUAUAUAUAUAUAUAUAUAUAUAUAUAUAUAUAUAUAUAUAUAUAUAUAUAUAUAUAUAUAUAUAUAUAUUCCCUUUUAUUUUUAAUUUUUUUAAAAAUUCCUUUCAGAAAAACUAAAUUCAAUAAAGACAAAAAAAACCCCUAAGAUAACCCGUGCUAUUUUUAAAAUCACUAAAAAUCCCAUAGAAUCUCCGAUUAAGCAGAAGCCAAAUGAAAAAAGGGGUCUGGAUUGACUCGCUGAGUCGGUCUAAGUAAUUGAAACAAACUGCAUGUGUCGUCAGAGUAACAAUCUACAAAGCAAACAAAACAAAGUACUAUGAAACAAGCAUCUAAUGCUUAUAUUCAAUCAAUUAAUUUAAUUUAAUAAAAAGAUAAAAUUCCUUUUAAAAAUAACUAAAUUUAAUAAAGACUGAAAAAACAUGUGAUAAUCUGUGUCGUUUUUAAAAUCACUGAAAAUUAUCAUAAAUAACAAAAAAAAAAAAUGGGGCCCAAUCUCUUACUAAAUAAACACCAAAUGAAAAAGGGUCUGGAUCGACUCGUCAAGCCGGUCUGAGUUUUAGAACAAUGGAUCAUGUGAUCUUUAUAUAAAAAUGACCUUAAAAUAUAAUGAAAUUGAUAAAGUAUUAAGCUUUUAAAAAAACAAGUAAACCUUCUAAACUCGAGUUAAUCUCUCAAACUCGUAAUCCGCUAAAUUCUAGAUCUGAGUUCAAUUAAGAAGCUCAAUACCAAAUCAAUUUAACGUUGAGAGAUGAAAUAAAAAAAAGUGAACUUUAAAAGAUUUUCAAGUAAAAAAAAACCCAGGAAUGGGAGACAUAGAAUCACCAAGGCCUUUAUAUCCAAUAGUCGAAAACUAUGCAAAUAUAUUGUAAAUUGGAGUUGGUGACUACCUUUCGGCCUGGGGAAUGUAUCUAUAGAGUUCCUUCUACCAUUCGCGAUUUUAACGAAGCUGCCUAUACUCCUCAUGUGAUUUCCAUAGGGCCUAUUCUCCAGCAUGAUAACAAAGCAUUAAAAGCUGUGGAAGAUCAGAAAUGAAGAUUUAUGAAAGAUUUUUUCAGAGUGCGAAUUCAAAAGGAGAAAAGAAAAGAACAUUUGACAACACUUUUGAGCGCCAUUAAAGAUGAUGAUGCUGCCAUCCGACUUCGCUAUGUAGCUGAGAUCUCUGAGAUUUGCAGUGAGAAGUUUGUGAAGAUGAUUCUAUAUAUUCGAUGCUGUAUUCAUCUUCGAGCUCUUCUUGAGGAAUCAUGAACCUAGAAAUCGAUCAUUGUAAGAAUAGAAAAGGUUUAUGAAAAUGUUAUGGAAAAGACUUCAACGAGUGGUGAUCGAAGUCGGAAAUUUCUUAUUUUUCAAAUAGUAGGAAAAUUUUGGAGUUACAUUAAAAGUUAUGAAUCUCUAUCAUCAUCACCGUCUUCCUUUAUUAGUGGAGUGGUAAACAGAUUAUUAAUUCUAAAAUCUGAAUAUUAUGAUAUAUCUAGUGAUUUAUUUUAUAACAGUAGUGCGAUAUAAUCAACAAUUAUUUGCAUCAUUAAAUAAAAACACAAUUAUGGGCACCUCGAUGUGACAAAAAAUCUUCUCGUUUUUUUUUAAAAUCUUUUUUUUUAAAUCAAGCAGCCUUCACUUCCAAAUCAUAAAGACUUGCACUGAGGUAAAAUAGUCUUUUUCAAAUAAUCAAAAGCCAUUUAAGAAUUCAACAUGGGCAAUAAGAUCUUUAUACUUUUAUUUUGCACUAUGAAAUUAAUUCAUCACUCUUAAAAGUAAAAAAUUCUAAACCUUGGUUUAGGGACUUUAUUGUCUAUUUAGGUUUUUUUAAAUAGUAAAAUUAAUAAUUUAACACUAGUGCUAAAAAAACAACAUUCAUGGAAUUUUUAGUCCUUUUCUUAAUUUAAACUCAAUUAAAUUAUUUCAUUGCCCUUUAAAUUUUUAAAAAUCUUGCCCUUUAAUUUGCGGUUACUUUACUCUUUUACGUUUGGUUAUUUUGUUAUACUUGGUUUCAUUAGAGGCAAUAUUGUUAUUUGCUAAAUAAGAAAAUAAAAAAGAUUGAGGGCACGUGUAUAGUAACCACAACUUUCAAAUAAUAUGUUCGGCACCGUCCGGUGGUCGAAUGCAUGCUUCUGAGGCGGCGACCAAAGCAUCUUGGCAACCCUUGCAUGAUUAGUUGGCGUAUAUGGUCUAAUUGUUUUUGGCUUGACAUAUGUGACAUUUUUUUUUCUAUAAUUAUUUUUAUAUAACGAUAUAUCUAUAUCUAAUUAGUUUUGUUUAAAAUUAUGUCAUAUUCCGAGUGUGUCAACUUAAUGCAAAUACAAUUAUUGUUUUUAGACAUGCACAAGUAUUAAAAAUGCAGUGUUUAGUUCAACAAAUCCAACGGCCAACGAAUUUCAGUAUAAAAAAAACAAGAAAGAAAAUACAAAAUACAAUUAUGGCUGCAACUUUCCUGGACAUGAAAUUAGAGAAAGAUAAGUAGAAAUUGUAUAAUAAUGCUGGGCACAAACUCGGCUUGGUUUAUCGCUGUGUUUGAUAAUUUAUUAUGAUUUAUUUUUUAAAUUAAAAAUAUAUUAAAAUAAUUUUUAAUAUUAAAAAUAGAUCAAUUUAAUAUAUUUUUUUAGAUAAAAAAUAAAAUUAUUUUUGCUAGGAGAAAGUUACUAGCACUAAGAUUUGAAAUUUAGCCACUUGAAUUCUGGGUUUAUUUUUAUACACGGUGAAAAUUAUAAUUUAAAAAAACAUAAAAACAAUAUUUGUUUUAGCUUGAAAUACAAAUAAAUGCAUAGAAAAACAAGCAGCAGUACCGCAAUAAAUAUACCUGUGGUGGGAUUGUUGAACGAACCAUUAAAAGCCAACUACCAGUAAACCCAACCACAUACGGAUUUUUGUUUUAUCACCACAAUGAUAAAUACAAUUAGAUAUUUAUGAUUUCUUUUUGGCUAAACAGCUUAAACCUCUGGGAAUGUUAACCCAUUUAUUAUUUAAAAUCAGAUUCUUUUAUCAAAUAUUAUAUGUUCAUUCAUUAAAAAACUCUAACACGUGAAAGUCACUUGUAAAUUAAUCUAAACCCUUUAUUUAUUAUUUAUUUUUAGAUAUCUAUUUUAAGUGUACGGUGAAUGAAGUACCAAAAGUGAUUGAUUCAAGUAGUUUUGAGUUCGAGUCUUAUAAAUAUAGUAUAUUAUUGUUGGGAAAGCUUCAUCUUUUAAUGGAUCAACCUUACUCAAUGAAAUUAACUGGGUCUAGUGGACUUUCAGAUUUUAGGAUUUAAAUAAAAAUAUAUACAUGAUAAUACAAUGAUUUUUCUAAUUUAUUUCUCACUAUCUAAUUUUUUUUUGAAAAAAACAGCAACGGAAAACGCCAGUAAUUUCAGAACUAGCCACCGAAACAUCAUUAAAUCAGAUUUCAUUAAAUCGGGCAUCAAUUGGCAUUGCAAUCAUCCAACUAAAAAACGCCAAUAAUUUAUUUCAUUUGUCCCUCUCGGUCAUGGUCAUGGCAACCCCCUGUAGCAUAGUCAAAAGGUCGCUUUUUUAUGCUCCACAAGAACACCUUCAUCCUUUUCCUUUUCUUUCUACCCUCCCUGUCUAACCUCUUCCUUUCCUUCAUUUUUUUUUCUUGGGACGAGUGCCCAGCUGGACCCAUACAAGUGUGACUAAAGGAAAGAGCUGUCCAUGAAUUAUUAGUGAAGUGAAAUGCAUGUUUUUCGAACCAAGCCCCACUGAGCUCGAGAUAUUUAGUCUGCUGGUCGCUGUUUUGAGUCCACUUCAUUAUCAGUACAAAUAAGAUUCAAUUUUUAUUGUCUAGCAGCCACAAUUUUAGUUUUGUUGUGAAAAAUCGUGGUCUCUCAAGUUUUUAUUCAUUCAAAUUUGGUCAUCAAUCUUCACUUUUUUUUAACUUCACCAUCAAAAGUUAUAAUAUUUUUGUCCUACAUGUUAUCACGCAUCCGAGCAAUAAGAGAUUGUUUCGGGGUUAAAUGAUAGGUCAAUUUUACAUCAUAUAAUUCUUAGUUAUUGUUAAAAAUAAUAUUAAAAAAACAAGGAUUAAAAUUGAUAUCGAUAAAAAUCAACUACCUUUCCCAUCAAUACUGUUCAAUACAUGCAUAAAUUUACAUUUUAAUUAUUUAUACUUGGUCCGUUCUAUUUUUGGAUUUUUUGUUUAGCUUCCAAACUUUAUUUUUUUAUGUUUCAAUCCUUAUAUCUCGAGAUAGGAGAGAGAAGCUCUUGAGGUUGGAUUCCGAACACUAAUAUUUUUGAUUUUGGUGUUUAUGAAUUCAACUUUGAUAGAUGAGCUCAAUAAAGGUGGUCUUCACCUUCAGUAACAACGAAAAAAGUAGAUUCGAUCUUAAUUUUUUUUUAUUUGAUCUAAUUUUGAGUUUUUAGAUCAAUUAGAAUGCUUUUAUUUUAUUUUUUGGAUGAAAAAAGUUUGAAAUCUUGAUUUUUAAGGUAAAAAAACCUUGGACAUUGAUCUUUUGUUAAUCAAAGACACCUCAAACGAUGGAAAAAAAUGGAAAAUAAGUGACGAUCAUUUAUCUAUUUUAAAAAGACAAUAAAGGGUAAACAAUAAAAAAAAAUCUUUUAACCUUUAAAAAUUAAAAUUAAAAACCCGGUGUACGAGCUUGGACUUUUAGGCCCAGGCAUGCUUGGAUUUUAACAUGGGCUAGAUGAUGGACCUAUUUCCCCACCCCAUAUGAGCAUGACCCUUCAUUUGUUUUUAAUUUUAUUGUUUUUUCUUUGAAUUUUAUAAUUAAAUUCUUUUUAAAUAAACUUAUUUAUAUAAUAUUUAAAUAAUUGUCCAAUUAUGCCAUUGUUUUCAAAGAAUAUUAGCUUAUUUUAUGAUAAUAUCAACAAUUGGUUUUUGAAUAAUUAUAUAUGAACUUAAUAUGCAUAUUUUUUAAAAAAAUUUAGAUGAAAUAUCUAUUUUUUUUUAUAAUUUUUAUGCAAUCUUUUCAAGUUUAUUAUUCUUAUAUUUUCGUAAUACAUUUGUGUCAAAACCACCACUUUAUAAUUGUUUUAAUAAAAAAUUACUUUUAAGAGUAUGAUAAGUUUUUAUUAAAAAUAACUAUUUCUGAUUAAAGAAAUUGUAAAAAAGAAUGCAUCAAUAAGGGAAAUGAUCAGUUUUGAUUAAAUAUAUAUAUAUUUUUAUAUUUAUUUCAAAUCGUUAUAAUUUUUUUUAUAUUGAUUUUAAUUGCUCUUAGUUUUUAUACAAUAAACAACAUGACUAGAAAAAACAUAUAUAUUUUUAAUAAAUUAAUACUAGAAAGAGGAUUUAUACUAAUAAUUAUAUUUUCCUAUGAAAUUUAAAUUAUUACUUUUUCUUUACAAAAAUCCAUUUUUUUCAUAUAAUUAAAUAUUUUUUUUAAAGAUAUGAGAUCAAAUAUCUUUAUAGGCAUCAAUCUUUUAAUUUUUCGCUUUAGUUUUUAGUUAGUAGUAACAACUUUUUUUUAUGUUUUAUUGGUUCAUAUAUUUUUCAAUUUAUUUUAUUAAACUUAAGCAUUAACUUACCAAAAUAAUAUCAUUUUAGUUUUUUUAAAUUUUUUCUAAAACAAUAUUGUUUAGGAUAAAAACUAAAUAAAAACAUAAUAAAUCAGGGCCAACUUUGUCAUCUAAAGGGUGACCCACUCAAUUCAUAACCUAAAUCUUAAAUCUUAUAAUUAUGGUAAUAAAUCAUCAUGGUCUAAAUUGACCACAAAAAAUUAUUCUUAUUUUUUUGAACAACUUGAACAUUAAAAAUUGACCACAAAAGAUUUGCAGGGAUAAUUAUGGCCGAUAAAAAAAGGCUAAGUGCAAGAAAAGGUCUAUGUUGCAUAGAAUGACUAACUUAAUAAAAUGUCUCUUAACUUUCAAUCCAAACGUUAAAUUAUGCUUGAAUUUUACAAAUAGGUUCCAAAAACUAGGUUUAUAGGGGCUAGCUUGGUGUAACUGGUGUAGAUUCAGAAGGAUUCCAAAUUAGACUUGUAAGGUUUUGUUUGGGUUAGAGAAACAAACUGUUUUUAAAAAAAUAAAUUUUAAUUUUUUUUUUUUAUGUUUAUGAUAUUCGGUGAAAUUCUUGUUAUUUCAUUUGUACUUCUUAUUUUUAUUUUUACAGUAACCCUAUUCAACAAAAUCGUAUCAAUGGUGCGUGAAUUGAUACCAGCGUUGCGUCACCAUGGAUGCGUCACCGGGGGUCAACCCGCUGUACCCCCAAGGUCUGAUAGCUGUAUAAAAGAGUGCUAUUACCUUACUGAAGAGCAUCACAAAACACACAGAGAGAGAGAGAGAGACUGCGUUCAACGUAUCAGUAUAGCUUCGAGGAAAUCUAGAGCCUCCUGCUUCUCAGGUUAAGGUACUUGGGUUCUUCAUGCACUGGUUUUUUCUCCUGUUCAUACUCCCUUGUUUCAUUAAUUAUUUUUGUUCCAACAACUGAGAACGUUUAAAGCUCCCAAAUUAUUAAUUUCAGUGUUACAAAGCUCACAUGGUAUGCAUUACCAAUAAACCUUCGAUCACCUUUGUACCCUGAAAUGGUCAGGGUUUUCGCCUUUCCCCCACUUACUUUCCAAGGGAUGAAGUUCGGUUAUAGUUUUUUUAUUUUUUAUUACUCCAUGUAUUCCUAUUAAAGUUUGGUUGCAGUUCUUUUUUUCUAGAUCAAAACACUAGGCUGCUAGCUGCUUGUUUGUUUUAGUACCUUCUCCUUCUUCUAGCUAACUUGGGGCAACUGCAUGAUGCUUGAGGAAGAACUCUUGGCUGUACAUAUACAAUAUCUAGGUUCAGAAACCUCCAAUAUCCAUGAUAUAUGGAACAUUAUGCUAAAACCCUGAACCGUGUAUUUUACUAGAAAAUCUAAUUUGGCUUGUUUGGUUAGUAGAAGAAACCGAGCAAGCAACUAGUUGCUCCAAACGAACCACCGCGAUAAAAAGUUUGAGAUGUCAUGAAAGCCAGACUCCUGAUAAAUUUGAUGUUCUGCAUAGUAUUGACUUAUAGACCGGAGUAUAAUUUAUAUAUAGAAUUCGAUGUUUUGAGAUGCCAUGAAAGUUUUUGCUAGUGAGUAUGCAUAGAAUUAUUUUGAGAAGUUAAUUUUAUAGCUAGUGGUGACUCUUGUUUUAUUUGUCAUGCGAGCAGAAAACUUCCACAAAUGGAAGAAAAUGAAUUAUCAAACUCUAUGAAUCAUAAUGAAAAACCAUGCAAAGAUAUUGCAAUUGAAAUUCCAGAGGACUUAAUUCCAAAGGACUUGGAGACUACCUUUCGGCCAGAGGAAUGUAUCUACAAAGCUCCAGCUGCACUUUGCGAUUCAAACAGAGCUUGCUACACUCCUCGGGUAAUUUCUAUAGGUCCUUUUCACCAUGGUAGUGAAAAACUGAUGCCUAUGGAAAUUCAGAAACAAAGAUAUCUGAAAGAAUUCUGUAAGAGAUUGCGAGGGAAAACAAAGGAGUCUUUGAAAGUACUUUGGAGAACCAUUGAAGAUCUUGAAGAUGACAUCAAACGCCGUUAUGCAGCUAAUACCUUUGAUUUUUCUAGAGAUCAGUUUGUGAAGAUGAUUCUGUUCGAUGCAGUGUUCAUCUUCGAGCUCUUCUUGAAGAAUGAAGAAGAUAUGCGCGAUAACCAACGAUAUCAAGAUGAUUUCGUCAUAGGCAAACCCUGGCUGAGAGCUGCGAUUCAACGGGACUUGAUAUUGCUUGAAAAUCAGCUUCCAUUCUUCAUUCUCGAGAAAUUAUACAGCCUUGCCAUCGAGGAAACAAAGCCCGAUUAUCGUUCUUUUCUGGACCUUUCCUGCCGCUACUUUGAGAAGUACGGUAAGAACAAAACCAAGCCUUAUAACGUGUUGCAUUUCACUGAUUUGGUAAGACAUUUUCUAUCCUUCAAGCACCCGCAGUUAGAAUCACCAGAUGGAAAGCAAAUUAAAAAUCUUUAUAGCGCAACCAUGCUGCACCAAGCAGGAAUUAAGUUCAAGGCAUUGCCGGAUGAAUGCUUGCUUGACAUAAGAGCCUGGAAGGAAACUGAGAAUACAGUCAAGAAAGGUGAGUUACAUAUGCCACCACUUGAAAUCGACAACAGCACCGAAUGUCUCUUCCGCAACCUCAUGGCCUUGGAACAGUGUCAUUAUCCAAGACAAGAGUUUAUCUGCCGUUAUGUUAAGCUAUUGGAUUUUCUUGUGGACGUUGAAAAGGAUGUGGACUUGCUCAUUGAAAAUAAGGUUAUUGUUAGCAGGCUUGGUGACAGUAAAGCUGUGGCGGAGCUUAUGAACAAACUUUGCCUAGAAAUAGUAGAAGUUACUUCUGGUUAUGAUGCUCUCUCCCAACUGCUGAAUGAUUACUACGACAGCUCUUGGAACAAAAACAAGGCAUACUUGGUUAGUGUGUAUUUCCAAAAUGUUUGGAUUGGUACUGGAACUGUUAUUGGAUUAAUUAUCCUAGCCAUCACCGUGACGCGGUUUAUCCUCUUCUUUUUCCGCUAGUAUUCUGUGUUUUUGCUAUAAAGAAAAGGCUCGACCUCGACAUCUCUAUAAAAGAAGAAGACAUGGAUGCUAGUUGAGCUCCAAGCUUCUUGUUGGCUUUCCUCCAAAUAAAUUUGUAUCCCUCUAUGACUCACUGUGUCGCUUCUACUGUUGUGUAUGUGGCCGUGCCUGUAGAAUUUUAGUUUCCCUUGAAGUUAAUAAAUCUUGUCAUUCCUGUUGUAAGGCAACAACAACUAUUAUUGAACUUGAAGGUUUUCAUUAACAAGGAUGUCAGUGAAUUGCGGUCUGCAUCAUUUCCACAUCUUUAAUAUCGCCAUUAAAUAAAACAUGUACGUAAAAUGUUUGCUCGUCUUUUUCUUCCUUUUCUUCUAGUUGCGUGGACAAAAACAAAAUGGUGCUAACCACCUGGCCUGAGAAAGAUGACAGAACCGGGUAGGAUCUGAAGUGGGGCAGCUAUACUUUAAUGCUAUACUUUAAUAAAGGUGUCAGUUUAGGUGAUCAAUCAAUGAAUUCUUAAAUAAAAUAUACGACAAAUUGCAAUGCACUUUCACAAGCUCUCGUUCGUUGGUUUCUUGAUUUUUUUUGUGUUAAAAAAGCAAACAGACCUCUAUGGGCUACAAUACAACACUGAACCUGAUGUUCGAGAAACACCGAGUUCAGUGGGCUCUCUGACACGUAAUAUUUCGAAACAUAUGAUCACGUUACUGCUUACUGAGUUAGAUGAUCCGAACAUCUGUCAUCCGUUUCAGGCGCCGAGUUUUUGAAUUACAAGAGCUGAUGGAGUCAAGAUAUCAAAACUAUGUCAAGAUAUUUUACUAUCUCUCGUCCCCAAUUUUACAGAAAAUGCAUCCCAAUGGCACCGGAGAAAGUUCUUGUUCUUUACCUUUCAUGUUUCUUUCCCUUGCGUUUUAUGACAAGUAGCCAGCUAAAAGUCGGACCACCUCACUUUAAGAAGAGGCCCUACUUCUUCCAUAUGCAAUGUCUUUUCCCAUUUCAAGUCCUUAUCUACUUAGGCCAUUCUUUUCAUGUGUUGCAGUGAAAAACGAAUGCAUGAUUGCAAUUUGACUUGCGGGGGUAAUUAAGAUUACAAUGAACAGACAACCUAUUCAUGGGUCCCGGGGUUCCAUGGUUUUCUUUAUCUGUAUUUAUUAGGAAGAAAAAUGACAGAACCUCGAAAGCCGAUAGAGAGGUUUGUUAGCCAAAAAUUACAAUUUCAUCUUCACCCGAUUGACCGACUGAUAUUGACUCAAACCAGUACGAAUUAAUUUUUAGGUUUUUAUAGAUAAUUAGCUUAUCGUGGAGAUAAUAUACAAAGUUAAUUUGGUCAUUUCAUUAAAUUUGAAAAGUCAAGUUGUUUUAAGAUGUAAAUGGUAAUUUUUUAGAUUAUAGCAAGUAACUAUAAUUAAUUGGAAUAAAAAAUACCACCAAAAGACAGGGACGUCACACGUUACGUGCCACCUAAUCUUACUAUUCUCUUUAAUUCUUUGAAAUGAUGGUGCUAAUUUUUGUUUUCAAAAACAAAUGGAUAAUCUUGCAUAGAUAUUAGGGUGAACAAUAUUUAAAAAAAAAAUAUAAAUUAACUGAAUUAAUAUUUUUAAUUUAUUAUAAAAAAAUAAUUAUUAAUUUUAAAAAGAUAAAUAAAAUAUUUUUGUUAUUAUUAUUGUUGUUAUUAUUCAUAUACAAAAAUGUAAAAAGUAGAAACAUAUUUCCACGCAUCAUUUGAUUUUUAAAGAUAAGUAGAUAAGUUAAGCCAGCAAAUACGAAAAGAAGAAAAGAAAAGCUAAUAAACCCGUUUGUUUUUCCAAUGUUUUUUUUUUAUAUUUAUUUUUUGGAAAUUCCUAAAGCAUUGAUUUUAUGAUCCUUUCAUUAGUGGUUAAAAUUUUUUAAUUUUGAAACCUGUUUAUUUUUAAAUUUUAAAAAUAAUUUUUAAAAAAAUAAUUUUUUUUUAUGUUUUCAAAUUGUUUUGAUGUGUUGAUAUCAAUUUUUUUUUAAAAAAUAAAAUAAAUAUUAUUUUAAUAUAUUUUUAAAUAAAAAAUAUUUUAAAAAAAAAUAAUACUUACCACCACCGAAUACCACAUUAAUCCAAUAUGUUAUAACAAAUCUCAAGUGGUCCGUUCCAUAGUAGUGGCAUGACACAGUUAGCAAUUGUGUCUUUAAAUAAAAUAAAAAUAAAAAUAAAAAUAAAAAUAAAGUAGCCAAUCCUAUCCCACAUAGUGACUCUCCAGCUCCACCUUUAAAUAAGUCGAACUACCUAACCUAGUUUUAUUAGCGACUUUUGAAACGGGAAUAUGCCUUUAUAUACUAUAUAAUGCCUUUAUAUAGUAAGUGACAUCAUAUUUCUUUUCCUUUUCUUUUUAUUGAACAAUCGUCAACUUUCUCACACAGAGAUUAAAUUCAUAUUUCUGAUCCAAUAAAAAACAAGUUAUUUAUACAGAUCUUAAUGUAUCAUUUAGUAUGUUGGAGAAUAUUAAUUGAACCUAAUUGUCUCGUGUGUAUUGAAUAAUUUAUCUUAAUAUAAUUUUAAUAAAUACUAAACGAGACUCAGUCAAGCUUAGAUUUGAACCAAUUCAGAUUAAAAAAAAAAUAGAAAAAGAAUUGGUCAGAUCUAACCUAAUAAAAAAAUUCUAAUCGACUUGCAACUCGGUCGACAUUAGAGAAAACACGAGUAUAUAAGAAAUCCAAUGAUUUAUUUUUGGUUAAAAUAAGAUUGUUUUGAUUUUUUUUUUAAAUUUAGAUCAACUUGUUUGACCCUCCUAUCACGUGACCCAAACCUUACCUCGAGUUGACCUUCAAGUUAGGUUUUAAAGCCAUGAUAAUAAUCAUUUUUAUCCAUAUAUUGACUUGGAUCAACCUGAGUUGACCUUCUAGACUAGUGACCUAAGCGUUGCCCUACAUCGACCUCCAAGUUAGGUUUUAAAACUAUAAUAAUAAUGGUUAUCUUUACGUUGACCUUAAUCAACCCGGGUUGACCCUCCAACUUGUGAUCUAGGUCUUGCCUUGGAUCGAUAAUUUAGUCGGGUUUUAAAAUUGUAAUAAUAACUACUUUUAUCCUUAUAUUGACUUGAGUCAAUGAUUAACUUGACCCGUGACUGACCCCAGUCAACCCCCAAGUAGGGUUUUACAACUGUGAUACUAACUAUCUUUUAUCCUUACAUUGAUGUGGGUCAAUAAUCAACCUAACGCGUAACUCGGGCCUGACCCCGAGUCAGGUUUUAAAACUAUGAUAAUAAUUACUUUUACCCUUACAUUGACAUGAGUCACUAAUCAACCCUACCCAAGACCGGGGCCUAACCCUGAGUCGACCCCUAAGUAGGGUUUUGAAAUUAUGAUAACAAUUACUUUUAUUUUUAUGUUGACCUGAGUUAAUGGUCAACCUGAUCCAUGACUCGGGGCCUUGCUCCAACCUGAGUCAACCUCCUUGUCGGGUUUUAAGACUAUGAUAAUAAUCAUUUUUAUCUUUAUGUUGACCUGAAUUAACCAUGUUAUAGAUAUUAAGUGAAAAUAUAUUUUUUCUUUUUUUCCUUUUCUUUUAAUUUUUUAAAAAUUCCUUUCAGAAAAACUAAAUUCAAUAAAGAUAAAAAAAACCCUGAGAUAACCCGUGUUAUUUUUAAAAUCACUAAAAAUCCCAUAGAAAGUGAAAAGAAAAUAGAGUCCAAUCUCCAAUUAAAUAAAAACAGAAUGAAAAAAGGGGUCUGGAUUGACUCACCAAGUCGGUUUGAGUAACUGAAACAAAUCACAUGCGUUGUUAGAGUAGCAACCUAUAAAACAAACAAAACAAAGUACAAUGAAACAAGUAUCUAGUGCUUAUAUUCAAUCAAUUAAUUUAAUUAAAUAAAAAAAUAAUUUUUUCUUAAAAAAAACUAAAUUUAAUAAAAACCCAAAAAAACAUGUGAUAAUCUACAUUAUUUUUAAAAUGACUGAAAAUUAUCAUAGAAAGCGGAAAAAAUGUGGCCCUAUCUCCAACUAAAUAAACAUAGAAUGAAAAAGGGUCUGGAUCGACCCGUCAAGUCGGUCCGAGUUUUAAAACAAUGGGUCAUGUGAUCUUUAUAUAAGAAUGACCUUUAAAAAUGAUGAAAUUGAAAAAAAUAAGUUAAAAAAAAUUAGUAAAUUCGGGUGAACCUUUUAAACCCGGGUUAAUCUCUUAAAUCCGUACCCCGUUAAAUCUUAGAUCCGAGUUCAAUCAAAAAACUCAAUACCAAACUAAUUUAACGUUGAGGAAUAAAUUAAAAAAAAAAUUCAACUUUAAAAGAUUUUCAAGGAAAAAAAAAUCCACAAAUGGGAGACAUUGAAUCACGAAGGCCUUUAUAUCCAAUAGUCGAAAACUAUGCAAAUAUAUUGUAAAUUGGAAUUCCAGAUGAGUUGGUGACUACCUUUCGGCCCGAUGAAUGUAUCUAUAGAGUUCCUUCUACCCUUCGCGAUUUUAACGAAGCUGCCUCUAUUCCUCAGGUGAUUUCAAUAGGGCCUAUUCGCCAGCAUGAUAACAAAGCAUUAAAGGCCGUGGAAGAUCAGAAAUGGAGAUAUAUGAAAGAUUUUUUCGGAGUGCGAAUUAAAAAGGAGAAAAGGAAAGAACGUUUGACAACACUUUUGAGCGCCAUUAAAGAUGAUGAUGCUGCCAUCCGACUUCGCUAUGUAGCUGAUAUCUCUGAGAUUUGCAGUGAAAAGUUUGUGAAGAUGAUUCUAUAUAUUCGAUGCUGUAUUCAUCUUCGAGCUCUUCUUGAGGAAUCAAGAACCUAGAAAUCGAUCCUUGUAAGAACAGAAAAGGUUUAUGAAAAUGUUAUGGAAAAGACUUCAACGAGUGGUGAAGUCGGAAAUAUUUUCGUAUUUUUCAAAUAGUAGGAAAAUUUUGGAGUUACAUUAAAGUUAUGAAUCUCUAUCAUCAUCAUCAUCAUCUUCCAAGAAAUACAUUUCACAUUUCCUUUAUUGGUGGAGUGGUAAACGGAUUAUAAAUUCUAAAAUCUGAAUAUUAGGAUAUAUCUAGUGAUUUAUUUUAUAACAGUAGUGCGAUAUAAUCAAUAAUUAUUUGCAUCAUUAAAUAAAAAUAACACAAUUAUUGACACCUCGAUGUGACAAAAAAUCUUCUUGUUUUUUUUUUUUUUAAAAUUUUAAAUCAAGCAGCCUUCACUUCCAAAUCAUAAAGACUUGCACUGAAAUAGAAUAGUCUUUUUUAAAUAAUCGAAAGUCAUUUAAGAAUUCAACAUGGGCAAUAAGAUCGAUCUUUAUACUUUUAUUCUGCACCAUGAAAUAUAUAUAUAUAUAUAAUUUUAUUCUUUUUGAGUUUUUUCCCUAUCAAUAUAAUCCUCUUUUUAUUAUUGCUAUUUCUUAUACAUUGAAAAAAAUUCUAUGGUUUUAUCCUUUAACAUUUAAUUGGUCGAAUGUUUAGUUUCUUAAUUAAGUUUUUAUCUAGAUUUUAAUAGACUGUAGAUUUGAGAGAUUAACCUGGGUUCACUUGUUUUUUUUUUUUUGUCAUUUUUAAGCUUUUUUUUCAUCCUCCAACAUAUAUUUUUUUUUGCUUUCUAUAGGAUUUUUUGGUCGUUUUGUUUUGAAAAUAACAUGAGUUACCUCGAGUUUUUUUUUCGAUCUUUGUUAAAUUUAGCUUUUUUAAAAGGAAUUUUAUUUUUUUGAUUAAAUUAAAUUAAUUUAUUUCAUCAUUCGACAUUAAACUGGUCAAGUGUUGAGUCUUCUUUGGAUGAGGCCAGAUCUAGAAUUUAACAGGUUGCGGGUUUGAGAGAUUAACCUGAGUUAAUCUGGGUUUAAGAGGCUCACCUGAGGUUUUUUUUUAAGCUCUUUUUUUUUUGUUUCAUCUUCCAACAUUGUUUUGCUUCUUCUUCUUUAUUUUUUCUAUAGGAUUUUUUAAUCAUUUUGAAAAUAACAGGGGUUAUCUUGAGUUUUUUUUUUCUUUGUUGAAUUUAAAUUUUUUAAAAGAAAUUUUGUUUUUGAAUCAAAUCAAAUUAAUUGAUUAAAUAUAAAUAUGAAAUGCUCGUUUCAUGAUAUUUUAUUUUUAAAUUAAAUUAAAUUAAUUUAUUUUAUCAUUCGACAUUAAACUGGUCAGGUGUUGAGUUUUCUUGAAUGAGUCCGGGUCUACAAUUUAAUGGAUUGCGAGUUUGAGAGGUAACCCGGGUUUAAGAGGCUCAUCUAAGUUUUUUUUUUUUUUUUUAUCUUUCAACAUUGUUUUGUUUUGUUUUGUUUUGUUUUUUUUACUUUCUAUAGAAUUUUUUAGUCAUUUUAAAAAUAAUACGGGUUAUCUUGAGUGUUUUUUGCCUUUGUUGAAUUUAACUUUUUUUUAAAAAAAUUUAUUUUUGAAUUAAAUUAAAUUAAUUGAUUAAAUAUAAAUAUAAAAUAUUCAUUUCAUGGUAUUUUAUUUUAUUUUCUUUAUGGGUUAUUGCUCUCACAUUGCAUGCACUCCAUUCAAAUUACCUAAAAUCUUAAAUAUUUUUUACUUCUUUGGGAGAAAACUAAAUGUCACAAGAAUAUUUUUUUAUUAUUGAAAAAAAAAAAAUAAAUCCCGAUUUGCACGUAGCGCAUGGCUUGUAGCUGGUUAUGACUAUGCUUAAAAGUGGAGAUACCUUACGUGAAGAUGUUUACGUCCUAUAUAUUAUUCAUUUCUUAUUAUCAAAAGCUGUACUAUAGAGUAUAUACUACAUACUAGCAUGAGCUAUAUUCCCCUUUGAUAUUUUAAAGCAGAUUCCCUACCUACCUAAGCAUAAUACAUGGUAGGUCACAUAUCUUUAUCUGUACCCCCACAUUAAUUAAUUAUAAAUUAUAUUUUCCGUUGAUAUUUUAAAGCAGAAUAUUCCCUACAUGGGAGCUCACAUAUCUAUAUGUGUAUACCCUACAUUAAUUAUUUAUAAUAGUCACGAAAAUGAUAUUGAAACAAUUUUAUUUUAAAAAGGAACAUUUACAUAUGUUACCAACAUUAUUUACAACCAAUUGCAUUAAGAAAAAAAAUAUAAAUAUUAUGAAAUAAAGAAAAAAUGGUGAAUAUAUGAAAUGUGAAAAUGAGAGAAGAAAAAAACCUUCUUUUUUAAAAGAAACCAGGAUUGAUGGUUGUAUUUGGAAGCCUUAACACAAUUGUGACUAGAUGAAAGAUUAUGUGUAAAAAAAUCCAAGUAGCUUGGGAGCAAGAUUUAUAUAUUGGAUAAUCGAUUAAUCUCUUGAUUAUAGUAAUCUAAUUAAUUUUCUUUAAUUAAGGUGGUUUUUGCCUGGUGUUUGGUAAGUCAAGACGGUUGGUGGCCGAUACUUGUAAAAAGUUAUCUUUGAUGAAUUUAGAGACUCUUUAAUGCGUAAGUAAAUAUCUUUUUGAGAAAAAAACAAUGAUAUUUUUUUAUAGAAACUCUGAAAAUAAAUACGCUGUCGAGAAUGAAGAUUCAAAACCCUAUUUUUUAAAGAUCCAUAGUAUAUUUAUAGCUUGUGAACCAUGUCAUUUUUAUUUUUUUUUGGAGAGGAGAGGCUGGAAAUUCAUCUUGCUCAAAUAGCAUUGGAGGUGGAUAAAAAAUCUCUUAUAUGUCAUUAAUGAGGUAUAAAUAUCUUUUAUACAUUAUUAAUAAAUGAUAAAUAUUAGAUUUUUCUAAAAACUUCUAUGCAUUUAAGGGUGUAAAGAGAUAAGUACCCUUGAUCUUAACAUUUUAUGUUAGGUCUAGUGGAUUGUCCGACCCACAUGUACUUAGGCUCAUCACGUAGCACAACCUAGAGAUGUUGGGUGUGGCAGAUUACUAGACCCAUAUGUAUAUUGGUUCAGCACAUAACUGAACGCACAUGUACCUGAGCUCAAUGCGUAGCUGAGUCUAAAGAUGUUGGUUGGUCUUUUUUAAACAUGGAUUUUUAAAAAAAGAUAACAUGUAUAAAACUUGAUUCAGAAUUAAUACCGUUCAAUUAGUAUAACAUAUUUAAAUUUAUAUAAUGUGUUUUAUUGUUAAUAGGAUACGUACUUGGAUAAUGAUAUUAUGACUUUAAAACUUAAUUUAUUUAAUUGUGUUUAAGAUAAUAUUUUGAUAACAAGAAACCAUACAUAUCAAGUAGCUUUUACCAAUGAAGUUAAAUCACCUUCAAGGGGAUAAAAAAAAAAAAACUACUGCAAUUGUAAAACAUGCAAGAUGACAGCAAAAAAAAAACCUUCCACCGUAUAAUUAAUGAACACAUGGCAAUUACCUUGAGUCCGCGAGUGCUCUUUGCCUUCCCUCAAUUGUGUGACGUCCUAAUUUGCCUCAGCUGAAUGACAUAAUAUAUUCUCUAAUCAUCACCUAACUACUCUCUACUCACCAAAAAAUUAAAAAAAAAAAAAGAGAAAAGAAACUCAUUUGACGUAUUGCUGAAACUUAAGUUUAUUUUUUAUUUUUAAAUUAACAUGGAUGUCCAGGUCAACUUACAUACACCUUGAUUAAUUUCACGGGUCCUGAAGUUAACGACUAUAUAAAUCUCCAGUGACUUUAAGAUUUACAGAACUUGAACCGAUGAUCUCUAGAAAACAAAUAUAAAAUCUGAACAAUUAAGUUACAUCCCUCGGAAUUUUCUUAAAUAAAUUUUCAAUGAAGGCCUUCGAGAGUCUAAGGUCAAGGGUAAGGUUGUCCCCAUGUGUGAACUGUUAUUUUUGUUUCUUUACAUUAAUAUGAUGAAAUGAAAAUUAAAUAUUGUUCUUCUGGUGUUGUAAUUAGUGUAAACAACUCUAGGCAAUGCCUUUUUAUUAUUCUUACAAGAGGCUAAGGUGCUCCCAUAUUUUUGUUCUUUUGCUAUGCAUAUAUAGAAAAGUGGAUAAUUGAACAUUUGGUAAAUAAAAACAAAUUAUGUGGAAAUAUUUUAUUGAAGUGUUUUCCUUGCACAUGGGCCAACUGUAAUAGAGAGAAAAAAAUUUUGGCAUAAAAUAGAAAUUGUUUUGGAACGUAUUAAUUAAAAUAUUGACACCAACAAUCAAUUAAAGAUGCUCUUAAUUAAUUAAUUCUUACAUUAGUGAAAUAAAUUAUGAGAGUAAUGGAGAGGGGAGGACUCCUCCUCCUAUAUAUAACAAGCACAAGGGGCACAAGUUACAGAGAAUGGAAGUGUGAGAGAGGCUGCCAUUUUCAGCAAAAGCAGUGUAUAUUGCGUCCAGGAUCAGAGGAAGCUCUGCUGUUUGAUCCCCAUUUGUAAAAUAUUAUUACUGUUUUUCACAGGCCAGGUACUCGGUUUCUCUGUGUUUUUUUUCCCUUUCAUUAUUUUUAUUCAGCAUAUAAUUUCUUUUUAUUUCAAUAAAGCUAGUUUUUAAAUUACUGCAUGAUGUAAGUUGUCUAAUUAGUUAACCUUGUUGAUUAAAUAUAAGUUGUCUAAUAAAACUCAUUAAUUAAAUAAAUUACCAUGAGCAACCUGACCCUACCCUCGUGUGAAUAUCGGGUUUAAUGAUUAAUUAAGAGUAUCUUUUAAAAAAAAUGAUUAAUUAAGAGGUAUACUCCUUUCCUUGUUAAUUAUUGAGUUUAAGUUGGUUUAGUUUGUAAGUAAAUAAAAAAAAAUAAAUUUUAUCUCGUAUUAAAAAUAAUUUUUUUAAAAUGUAAAUUUUUAUUAUAUAGUAAAUUAAGUGAAAAUUAUAGUGGAUAAAUUUUUUUAGUGAACUUUCUAAUGCUAUUAUAUAAAUAUUUAUAAUAUCAAAAAAAAACACUUGACAUUAAAGUUUAAUUUGUAGUGAGAUUAAUUUUUUAUUAAGUUAUUUUAUAAUUUUUAUAAUUAAUUUUGAUGUUUAUAAAUAUUCGGAUAAAAUUAAAUAGUCAUUAUUUAGUUUAAUUUAAAAUAUAAUUAUUUUAUUAAUAAUUGUAUAGGUGGUAGUACGUAACUGUUGUUUAGUGGUAGUACGUAACUGUUGUUUAUUUAUGUUACUGGACAGCAAAAUUUCAUAGAUGGGAGAGAUUCGUUCACCAUACUUUUCUAUUGAUCAAGAACACCUCAAAGAUAAUGCUGAAAUUCGUUCACCAUAUUUCUCAAGUGGUGAAGACUACCUUGGAGUUAAUGCUGAAAUUCGUUCGCCAUAUUUUUCAUUUGAUACUCAAGAUUACCAUGGAGAUAAUGCCGGAAUUCAUUCCUCGUAUUUUUCAGCUGCAGACUACCAUGGAGAGGAUGCUGAAAUUCCUUCUGGAACAUUCUUUCACCAAGAUAAUAUUGUUGAGAAUCCAUACAAUGCAGAAAAUUUUGUUGAGCAGGAUAUUGUUCAAAACAUAUACAACACAGAAAAGCUCAUUCAACGGGCAGAAAUUGAAAAACUGUACUCGGAUCUAGAUCUUGAAGCUGGAGCAGAAUAUAGAAUCGUGAAAUUAGUUCUAAAUGAUGAGAAUUGUAUCUACAGAGUUCCUGAUGCACUUCGGAAAUCAAAUGAAGCCAUCUAUACUCCUCAAGAAGUUUCUAUAGGUCCUAUUCACCGUGACAAGAAGAAUUUGCAGCCCAUGACAACGCAAAAGGUGAGAUAUUUGAAAGAAUUUUGUAACAGGGUGGUAGGGGAAACAAGGGUGCAACAAGUGAAGUUCCUGGAGAAAAUUUGGAACACCAUUAAAGAGGAUGAAGAGAGGAUCCGCCGAUGUUAUGGAGAUGGUGCUCAUGAAGUUGCAGAAAAUGAUCAGUUUGCGAAAAUGGUGUUGUUGGAUGCUGUUUUCAUCUUGGAGUACUUGUUGAGGAAUAAAGAUUUUAAAAAAUAUGGAGAUGAUUCCUUAUUGCGUAGAAACGGGUUAAGGUUUCGGAUUCGACAAGACUUCUUGCUGCUCGAGAAUCAGUUGCCAUUCUUCAUUCUUGAGAAAUUAUAUGACCAUCUUCUUGAAGACGGCGAAGGAAAUUAUACUUCUUUUCGAGAUCUUGCCUACGAGUACUUAAAUAGGUACAAUGCGAGUGCAUACAAGCCGAGCGACAAGGAGAUAUUACAUUUCACCGAUUUGGUCAGAUCUUCAUUAUCCGUCAACCAUCCAGAUCCGAGGAGUGACGAACCGAUUGGAAAAUUUUAUAGCGCAACCAAGCUGCAUGAGGCAGCGAUUAAUUUUAAGGAAUUUCGAGAUGAAUGCUUACUUGACGUAAAAUUUUCUUCUACAAAAGGUGAGUUACGUAUACCACGUCUUCGGAUAGACCACCACACUGAACUUCUCUUCGGAAACCUCAUUGCCUUGGAGCGGUGUCAUUAUAAAGGAGAAGAGUACAUCUGCCAUUACGUUAAGCUACUUGAUACUCUUGUUGCCAAAACCAAAGAUGUGGAUCUCCUCAUUAAAAAUAAAAUCAUUGACACAGACAGAGAUGGUGCUUCAGUGAAGAAUCUGAUUGACAAACUUUCGGCAGAAACUUCUGAAGAAUAUUCCAUUUACUAUAACCUCUACAAGCAGCUGGAUCAACACUACCAGAACUCCUGGUUGAAAAAUAGCGCAUACUUUAGAGAGGUAUAUUUUGGAAACCUUUGGAGAAGUACUGCAACUGUUAGUGCAGCUGUCUUGCUCCUCUUCACUUUUGUACAAACAAUUUGUGCAGUCGUUGCCUUGCGCUAGUACUCCAAGUGGACCAAGUUAGCCCCAAUCCGGUGUAAUUUUAUUUCUCUCAUUGCUGACCUUCGUUGUAUUGUUUGUGUAGUUUCCGUUUCCUUUGCAGUUUUUCAUUGUACUUCAACUGAUGGGCUUUCUUUGUAUUUAGUAGUCAUGACUUAAUUUGUAAUGAUGGUUCUGAUGGAUGCUGUCUUCACUAUCAAGUUCAUCUUGCAGAAUUCAACAAAUCUCCAUCGUAAAGAGUCUGGACCGUCAGAGAAAGCAAAAAUUAUCUUAGGACUUGAUACUACUCGAAAAUCAACUACCUUACUUCAUUGUUGAGAAACAGUAUGACAAGAGAUAUUACCCUACAUUUCUUCAACUUAUCUAUAACUACUUUGAACAUCGCUACGUGCCUGCAGUGGAGGCAAAACCUCAUCCAAGGGAAGUAAAACAUUUCACUGAUUUGGUAAGGUGUUCUAUGUUGAUUGAGCCUAGUCCUCGCAACCUUGAUUUUCCUAUUGAACUCAAAUAUAAUGCAACCACGCUCCUUAAGGCAGGAGUUAAGUUUGUAGUUGUUGAUAAUAACCAUCUGCUUGACAUAAGAUUUGAUAAUGGGGUGUUGAAAAUACCACGCUUGGUCACUGGAAACAUUUUCGAAUGUACAAUUCGAAAUAUUAUAUGGCCUGGGAGCAGUUCCAUUACUAUCCAAAUGCAACUUACAUAUGCGAUCACUUGUCAAGACUGAAGAAGAUGUGGAUUUGCUUGUUGAAGAGGGAGUAUUGUCAGCUGGCUAGAGGACAACGCUAUGGUAGCAGAUUUGAUUAACCACCUUUGUGGAGGAUUUGGACAAAUUUACACUCGCCAUCGUCAUGCGUGAAGGAUUAAAUGCUUGAAGAAUUUACAAGGACUAAUUAACACAACCAUAGAAGAGUAGUAACCUAGACAGUAGAAACUUAUUGAAGAAAAAAUGAAUGAUAUAGGCAGCCAUGUUAAUUAGAGGUCUUAAGGAAUGUUAAAUAAGGUGCAGAAAUGCUGAGCAUUUUCCUCUUCAUCACAUAAACAUGUAUUUAGGGCAACGAACAGGAAUGUUCAACUUCCAUGAAGCCCUCGGGUCCGCAGUUAUUAGUAGAACCAAAAACCAACAGAGUUAAACUAAUUAAUUGAAUUUUUAUCGAUGUAACUAUGAGAUUAAUAUUUUAUCAAUGAUGAUGAUGAUGAGAUCAAUAGUGUAAAAGAAAAAUCCAACUGCUUUUAGCAGAAUAUAACACUGUAUUAGGCUGACAAAAACUAGGAAAACAAUCCUGCUACUACAGUAGCUUUAAACCUCCUGCUUCGAGCCUAUAGAAGCAACUCUAUGGACAUAUACACCAAUUAUGUAGACCAUAUGGGAAACCAUAACCAUAUACUGAUUGUAGUAAUAAAACUAGAUCAGCUGCUUUGGACCUAGAAGUGACAUUAUUGAACAUACAGUCUGUAUCAAAGUGAGGAUCAGCAGGACAGCUGCAGCAACAGUUCCGGUACCUCUCCAAAGAUUGCUGAAAUAUACAAGUUUCAAGGUUGCCUUUCUAUGGUUGCACCUGUUCUCAUAGUAGGCGUUCAAAUCAACACAAAGAUCAUGAUAACAAGUGAAAAACUCACUAAUUUGCUCGCAAAGCCGGUUAAUCAAAUCUGCAACCAUGGCAUUGUUUCCUAGCCAGUUAUCAAUCACCCCCACUUUAACCAGCAAAUCCACAUCUUCUUCGGUGUUGAUAAGAUGGUCCAUUAACAUAAAGUAAUUGCAUAUGUAAGUGCUAUAUGGGUAGUGGCACUGCUCAUAUGCCAUGAGGUUUCGUGUCACAUAUUCGAAGCUCUGAUUUACUUCAAAGCGUGGCAUUUUCAACACUCCGUUGACAAAAUUUAUGUCGAGUACACAACUGUUUUCAGUUGCCUCAAACUUCAAUCCUGCUCUAUGAAGCAUGGUUGCACUGUAUUUCAGUUUGAUGGUACAAGGACGACGAGGUAAUGUCUCCAGGGACUCGUUCAACAUAACAUAUCUCAGAAAAUCAGUGAAAUGCUUUAUCCCUACUGAGUUGACUUUUGGUCUCUCUGAAAUCCUGUAGUAAUGUCCAAAGUAGAAGGCUACAAGCUCAGGAAAAGUAAGGCUAGCUUGUGUUUCAGGGUCUGAAUAGGUUUUCUCGUAUAUUUUCUCCAGAAUGAAAUAAGGUAGCUGAUUUUCAAGUAGUAUCAAGUCCACUUGUAAACCAAACACCAUCCGAGGCUCAGGUAAUAUAGGAACUUCUUCACAGAAAAGGUUAAAGAACUGCAACAAGAAUUCGAUGACGAAUACAGCAUCCAACAGAAUCAUCUUUACAAAAUCAUCACUGCUACGAUUGAAGUUAUAACAGCCUCGAAUUUCCAUUUCAUUCUUCUGAACUAUGGUCACAAGAUCGUCCAAUGUCACCUUCUUCCCAUCCAUGAAUUCUGCUAAAUAUCUCAAUUUCUGCUUCUCCAUUGACACUAGUUCCUCAUGGCCACAGUGAGCAGGGCCUAGUGAAACUACUUGUGGAGUGUAGGCUUUCGGUUCUAUGCUUCGAAGUGAGCGGGGUACCUCGUAGAUACAGUGCUCAGGACAUUUUCCAGGUUUGAACCUUGCUAUCCCAUCUGCUAGAUCUUUCAAAACAUUUGAAGCACUUGCCGCUUCAAUCUCCUUUCCCGUGUUUGAAGCACUUGCCUUAUCAAUCCUGUUUUCAUUAUUUGAACGUGUUGCCAUGCCAAUAUCCUUAUUUGAAGCACUUGGGGAAUUAAUAUCGUUUUCCAUUUGUCAACAGAUUUUUGUCCUGGAGAGACAGCCAAUUGAAUCACUGGCGAUAAAAAUAUAUCUCCAAAUCAAGUGUACCAUGGUUGCUACAAUCUUACAUUCAUUUCAAUUCACAUCUAAAACGAUUUAGUUUUGCUUUCCAGCCACUCUUAACAAGUUUUAAGACUAGAUCAUACAAAUCAAAACAAAACAACUGUAUAAGAAACUAUUUUCAAGGAAAAAUCAUGUAGUUGAUUGAAAAAUACAGAGCAAAUCAUGGGAGAUUACAUGUGUAUUAUGGCUAUUGUUGAUUUCCCAUCAUCCUGAUCCGUAGAUUAUAUAGGUGUGUCAUGUAGAAUAUUUUUUUAACAUUAUCUAUGAUAUGAUCUCGUUCAUGUGGAUCCAUAAUUUAUCAUUGUUUUGAUUCAGCUCUAGCAAUUUAUUUGUUCAAUUUGUUCUGUGUUUAGUUUUUUGUUUUAAAAAAAUUAUGAAUGUUGAACCUCCACUGGCCUUAAUUAACCCAAAUGGAGAUGUGGGAUUAAGUUAUGUCAUGGGAAGUAAGAAUUCUGCUUCAAGAUUGUCAAUUGAAUGUUUUAUGAAAAAAAAUGUGAAUUCUCUUUUUUAUCAUGUAAUGAUCUAUCUGGGUAUUUCAUUGAUUUAUUAUUAUUAUUGGUUGCAUUGAAGAUGAGGCAGAAUUCAUGAGAACUAAGAACAUCAUCAUAUACUAAAUUCUUUUAUUCUUUUUUUUAUAUAUAUACACUAUUGUUUUUUGGUCCUCCAGCUUUAGCUUUCAAUUUGCUUUUCUAAGGAGUCAUAACCUAAUUUUGUAAAAUUUAACAACAAGAAAACCUAAAAAAAUAUAAGAAAUUCUGGACAAAACAGAUUAAAACACACCCAAGUGCAUAAAACCACGAAACAUAACUAAUAAGGCCUAAAUUGAUAGGAACAAGAGUUAAGGAAACAAACUAUAUAAUUGAUUGUCAUCAAUUAACAACAAAAUAUAAGAAAAUCUGGGCAAAACAGAUUAAAACACUCCCAAGCGAAUAAAACCACGAAAACAACUCUUCCUAGCUAAAGACCAUCUUGUUUUGGUGUUGUUCUGCAAAAAGCCAAAACUGUUUUCUGACAAGUAUAGAACCAUUUUGGAAUAUUUAUUGCUGAAGCAAUGCAAUUGCCUUUUCCGAAGGAAAGUUGUGUGCUGGGAUAUUUCUACGUACACAAUUCCUUCGGAAGUAGUAUGUAUGGAUAUCCUACACAGCUUAUCAGCUGUGAUCUUACGAGAGAAUCUUAAUCUUUAAUUAUAAUGGAACUAUUAACCUCGCAGGGUAGGGGAGAUCAGCCAAGUAAUUGAGAACUCAUGAGGGUUAAAGCCUAAAAGACGAACUUCAUUUAUCAUUAAGAAGUAAGAACCGCUAAAUUAAGGCUUAAUUGAAAACUUUAAACAUUUCAUCUGUAUUAGACCAAAUAUAGUGAAACAAAGAACCUGAGUGCCUUUACCUGAGGAAAACAAUUGUUUUGUUGUAAGCAGCACACAGCCCCUUCCCUGGAUAUUGCUACACUGAUCAUCUGUUGAAUGCAGCCUCCCUCUCUCACUCUCUCUGUCUCACUGAUAUGUAUAUACGAGUAGUACUCCUCUCUCUCUACUUGUCAUCAUUUCUCUCUCUAGAAAAUCUCCUAUCCAAAGAUUUUUACUUUUAAGUUUUAUUCCGUUAUGUUAUUUGUUUUGCCCUCCUUCACCCCUUCACAAAACCCUACCUUUUAACCAUCAUCCUCAACAUGCUCUUCGACAAAUCAACAACCCAAACCCUACAUAUCUCAUAUCUGUUUACCUUGAAAGAUUCCCUCCCCACCGGAGGUCGUUUGAUCUGAAAAAGCUACGGGGCUGGCCUCCUAUGCCCGUAAAAAGAACAUUGUUAAUAAUAUUUUUUCUUACUUCUUUAUUUAAAUUAUUGAGAAUCUUUGUUAUAAAGAACAUUGUUAAUAAAAAUCUUUUGUCAAAACAAUACAUUUUUUUCUUUUAAAAUCUAAAUCUUUCUAACUUUUACAAAUAUUGAUUUUAAUUAUUAUAUAAUUAAAUAAAAACUAAUAUUAAAAUUACCCCAUAACAGCAUCAUGCAGGGGGAGAAGCUACUGUGCUUAUAAUCAAGGACAAAGUAUUUGAUAAAGGUAAAGUUGUCUGUAUCUUCCGAUGUGGGUUCCUCUCUUUUUCGUCCUUUGACAUCCUGUUCAUUAUUUAAAUGAUUGAAAGACACCUUGCCUGCUAAGGAAAACAACACAUCAUCUACAAGCUUAGAUUCUAAUUAUUACUAUAGUGACUGAAAAAUUAAAUUAAUAUUUUUUUUUAAAAAAAAAUCCAAUUUUCAAGUUCUUUAAACCCAAAACAUCUUAUCAACAUCAUUAGCAUACCUACAAAUUAAUUCAUCAACCCAAAACACUUCAAUUUUUUUUUAUCAAAAACUCAAAAUCUAACCGAGUUAGAUUUUGUUUUCUCAACUUAGAUUUGUUUUUCAAGCAACAUUAAGACUCUAAACAACCAUUAUUAAGCCUCUCUCAUAGCAUGGGAACAGAGACACAAAGAAAAAUCAUUUUGAUGGUAAAAAUGGUGUGAAUAAUAACUUUCUCUCUCUCAUCUCUUUAACUAAAAAUAAAAAAUAAUAUAAAUUAACUUUUAUACUAAAAUUGAAUUUAUGAUUUGGAGAUAUUUAAAUGGUAUAAAUUAUAUUAUUUUUAAAGUUUGAGGACCUAAGUGUAUUCUUCCCAAAAACCCUGGCACGCCACCCAUUUUUGAUGCAUUAUUCAUUUUAGCCCCUCUUCUUCCAAUUCUAUAAUUUCUUAAGAAAUCAAAAACAAUUACCUUUAACUAGGAUCAAAUCACAUAAAAUUAAAAUUUGAGAAUGGAAAAAUAAAAAUAAGAAAUGAACAAUGAGUUCACAGUCACAUGUGAGUUUGUGAACAUUAUUUUUCUGCAUCUACCUCUUUUAAUGUUUUCAAUAAUUUGUAUUAAGAUAAUCAGGUUAUUUUAUUUUAUUUUAUCCACUGGACCGCUCUCCUACACCCUCCAAAAUAAUUUUUUUUGUGCUACUUUCCGCGGAAGACCAAAAACCGAAUUCAGCUAUUAGUCAUUCGAAUUACAAAAGGAAAUUGGUGAAUCUUUUGAAAUGUUUGUGGGUGGUGGGGGUCAAAGCUGAAAAGUGCACUCAGCUAACUCCAAGAGGACAUAAAUGAUCUUGAUCUAUAGUUACAUUCAAGGGUCAGUUCUCAUUUAUUUAAAGAAAACAUUAUUCCUGGGGGCAUUUUAUUGCGCAGCAUAGCAUUGUACCUCUCCUUACAAAGCCAUAUGGAUUUUAGUAUUUUUUUAUCAUAUUUUUUUUCAUACCUUUGUGCAUGGUUUUGAAUCUCGGCCUAACCUGGCAGGUCGAUUCAGAAUCCGAUCAACUCGGAGCUGGAACCUAGCCAAGUUAAAGAAAAAAUAGGGGAAGAAAAAACUCGGUGUGACCCGGUAAAAAACUCAGUUGCAAACCGUUGACUUUUAUUUUGUUUUUUACUAAAACAAUGUCAUUUUGAUUUAAAAAAAAAGAAUUGACCUGGUCAAAACCCGGAACCCGGGUCUUAGACCGGGCUGAGUCUAAAAACUAUGUUUUUGUGUGCUGUUUUGAGUGUUUGUGUUUUUUGAGUCCAUGGUUUAUUUUCUUUGCAUGAUCUUGGGGAAUGGAGGUUUUGGUUAGGUUUGUUGGAGGUCAAUUUAAUGAGAUUUGGUUUUAAUUUAUAGCAUAAAUAAACAAUUAAAAAAAAUCAAACAUAUAAAUAAAAAAAAUUGCGUGGCCUAUGUUAUUUUCACAAGAAAAAUACUAUUUAAUCCACAUAUUUUCUAUUCAUUUCUUGUCUGGUGUCUUUGAUUUUAGGAAUUUUAGUUUUUGUAUAAAACUUUAUUUUAUUUAUAUUUUAGUUUUUAUAUUUGAGAAAUGAGAGAUCAUGUUUUAACCAAGCAAGCUCUCUAUCUUAAAAAAAUAAUAUUGUUUUAUACUUUAUUUUGUACAUCAUUACUAAACAUUAUUUUAUCUUUGUCUUCUCUAUUAUAUUAUUUUCUCUAUUGUUUUUAUUCAGGAAAAUAACUAAAUGUUACCUAACUUAUUGGUAUUUGUUUCAUCCAAGAGAUCAUAGGUUUAAUUCUCCAAAAAUAUUAAAAGUUUAAUUUAGUUUACAUCUCAUGUAAAAGACGGUCUAAUUAGUCCCUUAAUUUUGUUAUCAGCUUGUAAACAAAAAAAUGGCAGUGCAAAAUUAACUCCAACGGCAACGAGCUUUUUAACUGGAAAAAAAAAGAAAAAGAAAAAAAAUUAGCCAGCCACAUACGUGUCUUCUCAUUUGACCAGGACUACAGUCCACAGAGGAUUUAAAAGGCCUCGUACCAAUACCCAGCGACUUGUAUGGGCCUACAUGGGCUAAAAAGAAGAGAAAUCAAGAAUUAUUAGGCCUCUAUGAUGAAGGCCUACAAAUCAGACCCCUUAUCAAUGACCGCAAAGAAAUGAGUUCAAGCCUUCAAGGUGGGGUCCCGGUCACUCAGCGGAAAGAAAGAAAUGGAGAAUGGCUGCGGUGGCGGCAUCGAGACCCAGUGGUGGUGGUGGUGGGCAAUGGCAAGCAUGGCCAAGUUUGGGUGGGGCAUUUCAGCAUAUAAAAGAGGCUUCGCUGGCGACUCUCGUCUCAUGCCCUUAAAAGCGUUCGCCGUUGCCUCCCUCUUUGUUGGUUCCGCCGCCUCUGCUUCCAUUGCUUCCCUUCAAGCGUCUGGCAUCCACAAGGUACAAGAUCUUAUAGAAUUGGGAGCAAAUAUAAGGACUGGGCUUGGGGUUCCUCCAAGAGUAGCAAAAGAGUAAGUUGCUUGCUCUCUUUUAUCAUCUGUAUACUUUUUUUUAGAGUCCCAAAAAAUUACAUUUGUACAAUCAUUAAUUGUUGUUUAUCAUGUUUUUUUUUUGUUAGAAAAGCUGAUGAUCUAUGAAAAGGGGCAUCGAGAAUCUUGGAGAUGUGUGCAGUUUCGUAUCCUAUGUUUUGUAAUGCUAGAAUGCAAGCUGUAGAUGUCAACAAUAUGAUGUACUUCACAAUACUUCUUUUGUAGUAAGAUUUUUUCUUUUGAUUAUUGUUUGAGAGAGUACCUUUUUCUAUACCAUUGCCUAAUGAAGUUAAAAUUCUGUUUUGGUUAACUUGCUUCAAAGAGGCAAUUAGCAUGGAAAUAAGCUUUUUAUGUUCCUGGUCUUGCUUGAUCAAAUGCUUAACAGACACAUUGAACAGACCCUCUGGGACUCAAUUAUAGUGGUUGAUAAAGAGCGUGCUGAGCAGAAGUUAAAGAACUCGUUUAUUGCGAAGGUAAUGUUUGUGCAGUCUGUUUAGCAAACGAGGGAGGUAGCAUGGCCUGGGAUCUUCUUCGGAUUUUUAAAAUUUCUGUAACUUGGGAGAUCCAACUGAGGAAAAAGAUUUGUUUAGUGGCAGAAUUGAGGCUAAUUAUAUAGUUGAAGGGAUUUUUUGAUGCUUGCAAUAUAAAUAUACAUCUGUGUGUGUGAUGGAGAUGGCCCUGUAAAAGUUGCGGAUAAAGAAGUCGAAGAAGCUAUAGUUUCCAUCAUUCUUGAAAACUUCCCUUCCCAUGCAGUUUUUGGCGAAGAAACCAAGUGGAAUUCCAAAGAUAUCAUCAUCAAUGACACCAAGCUUCCAGACUUUGUUAGGGUUGUGGAUCCUAUUGAUGUAACAUACAGCUUUUUUUUGGAAAAGGUGCAAGCUUGGAACCCUUAUUGCUCUUCUUUACAAGGGGAAGCCUAUUCUUGGCAUUAUGAUCAACAUCUUACGAAAGAUUGAUGGAUGGGUGUCACAGGGAGCAUAGCAACGAAGAAUGGCGAACCACUGUUGGCCACUGCCUGUCAGGAUUUGGUUCAUGCACGUGUUCAUGUAAAAUCCAGGCAUUACAGUGAAGAAGUUGGGUUUGCUUGUGACGGAAUUGUGCGCAGUAUCAUGAUCAUGCAACGUCAUUAUUUGGCUCUCGCUAAAGAAAAAGGUUCCAUGUUGCAAGUAUUGGUUCAUUCAGAUCCCGGAGACUCAAUGAGACCGCACUGGCGAACAUCUGUUGUGUUCAAUCCACGUUUGUUUCCUUGGUGAACGAGGAUAGACGAUAACUUGAGCACCUGCUCUAGACAAGUGAUUAAAAACACAAUGUUAAUCACCAACAAAAUUGUUUAAUUCAAUGACCAACCAAUCACAUUUCAGGAUCUUUGCUCUCUCAGUGAACAAAAAAUUUAUCAGCUCAGAAGGACAAAACUGGAACUCUCAAGAAAACUAAGGAUCAAUCUCACGAGAACGUAUACAAAUUAUUCAUAUCUAUUGACGAGAGCUAGCAACCCCAGCUCCAGAUCAAAUUGAUACAAAAAGAAACCAUAUCUAAGCUAUGGAACGCUUGUGUACAUGUUUUACGCAACCACUGGCGCAGGCAUAUAAGACUCCAGAAUCAACUGUGAUCGUGAAGGUUGCAUGGUCUCGACAAUUAAGUAUGUAUACUUCCACUGCUUGUCCACUUUGUCUUUGAACAUCUCAGCAGAAACCUUCCCAGCACCAUGCGGCCCACGAAUAUAGAAAUUAAUCUACAUUCAAUGAGGCAACGAGUAAGCAGAUACCAAGUUACACAGAAAAUCAAAAUUAUCCCCAAUUUCAUUUGUUCUUGUGAAAUUUUUUCACUUUAUUUCUUCUUAAAGUGGAAGGAGGUUCUGGAGAUAAUUCAGGAAUGUUAUUCACAAUCCUGGAACCUUUUGCAUUUCUUGGAUGCACAAGACAAAUUUCAUAUGGUUAUUGUAAAUUAUGUUGCUUCACAGUUUACCUGGACAUGCUCCACACCAUCUUCAUCAGUAAAGAUCCUAUUGGGAAUACGUUGGCGAGCAGCACGAUUUCUACUUUCCUGACCAUAACCUGUAAUAGGGGAUCCAAUCCUCACCCUGACCUGAUUUUCAAAGAAAAUAUAAUCCAAAGUAAAUGACAAAAUUGCAAAUCAACAUAUGUAAAGAAUACCACCAAUAUGAUUCAGCUUUCAAAUUUUGAAACAGCCUGCAAUCAUGGUCUUUUAUAGUACAAGAACAUAGAUGGCAAAGUUUAGUCGCCAGUGAGAACCCUUUUGACCAUUUACUACCAGAUCUUUCUGGAUUUUAUCUAUAGUAUUUAAAACCUCCCUCACAACUUUGUGAUUACAUUUUGAAAGAAUUUGUUUUCUUUAUAUUAGUUUUGCCAAUAAACUGUACCCAACCACUUGAAGUUAAGCACCCACUGCCAUUCUUAUUUUCAGAUGACAGUUGAUAAUAACCGUAUGAUUUAUUGUUCAGUCCCACCAGUUACAUACUCGGGGUGUUUCCACAAAGGGCAACCUCAAAUGACUGCUCCAUUGUAAGAUAAAGUCUCCUUUUCAGGUCCACUGAACAUCAUGAUAAUAAAUAGAAGAGGAACAAGUGCUUUAAAAAUUGUGCGGCCAGACAAAGAAUAUCAAUUUUCACAAACCUGACUGUCAUCUUGAAUCCUUUUCAGAGCCUUGUUAAAAAUCUUGUAUCUAUCACAGGUCAUGGCUCAAAUCAGAGUGGAAUCAGGAAAAGAAGGCAAAACCUCAAAUAAUGUAUUUUUAACCAUGUUCGUAUAAUUUAAUAAGAAAAAUCAACUCUUACUCUUUUGGUUCAAAUAUCAGCUCCUUGAAAACAGCAUAAGCUGCAGCAGCAGCAACACCAAGUCCUGCAAGAAUUAUAAUGCUGUAGGAAGCACCCUCUGUAAACGUCACAGGCUUCUCUGGGAUAUUGUAUGUUGGAGCAUCAAAAGGAUCCUCGACAGUAGAUAAAUCUUUUCUGGUCUGUCCAGAGUGGCAGAGCACAAUUAAUAGUUUAAGAGCACAAGUUUUCAGGGAAGAAAAAAUACUUUGUGCGGAGAACACAAAGUGAAACCAAUAUGUAAAGCAAAAAGGUAAAACAAAAACAUAUGUAGUCAGGAUGGUUCAGAUGCCGCUGUGUUGGGAGUACAUAAACACAGAAGAAAUUUAAAAAUUCCCUCUUGAAAGAAACAAUUUGUUUCAACAAUGAAGUAUGGAGCAAACAUAUAUUUCCUAUAUAAAAAUCUAGAACCACCCAGAUAGUGAUAGUAUCCUUAUAAUAGAAAUAUACUCCAUUUUUAUCAUUUUAUGGAUAAAAAGGUUGACUGCAUAGAAACACAAGAUUCAUUCAAGUGUUCUACUUAAACUGUAAUCAGAGUAAUCUAAAUAGCAUGCGGAUAAAACAUAAACACGUAAGUUCAAGAACUUUGAUUUGAAUUCAAACCUCAGAUUGAUUUCGUGUCUCUUUCUUCGAAGCUUUCGAUGCAAAGGAUCUAGCAACACAAAUAUUAAUGGUGCUUCCUCCAUGGUUUUCCAUGAUUUGAAAGGGUGACCUAAGGCUAACCAGGCAUUCUCUGUUAGAUUUACCUCCAUACAUAGCAGGGAUACCUGCCAAAUAUCACUGUCAAGAAUUAAUUUGCAAAAAGAGAGAAAUCAAUAAGCAAAACAACCUUGCUCCAGAACCGGAGGAUAUGCAUGUCUGACACUAAAUGUCAGUAAACUUGCAGCACUUUGUGUGGCUCCAAAUACUUUAUUAUAUUAUAUGAAUUGUAUGGCUACAACUCCUCUCCUGCAUUGACUUUAGUUACACUAUCUAAAACUGUUAAGUUUUCAAUUAUUUCUUGCAGGUCCUAGCAUUAAAGUGAUCGAUCCUACUAUAGUUUCUUUAUGAUCUUUUACCUAAACUCCCAAUGAGACAUCCAAGGAUUCAAUAAAAUCAGCUCAUUGUCAUGUUCUUUCUUUGCUAGACCCUUUAUCAAAAAGGCUAUUAGAUCUCCAUUACAACAGCUCGAAAUAUGAGAUUUAGUCAGUAAACAUGCAAACUACAACUUGCGGUGAAACAUUCAUAGGGAUAGACUAGAUCAACUACUGAUUCAGGAGGGCAUCCUGAAACUUCCUUUUAUGCCAAAAUAAAAAAUCUGGAGGAGCGGAUGAGGGUCACUGGCUCCAUAUCAGAAAAUGAGACCAGCCAAUAAAAAUGAUUCGUAUAAGAUCUUUGAUCCUAGUAUAAUUCUCUUGCAAGCAAACAAAAAAUGACUUCCAGGAUGAGCAAUAAUGCAGUAAGCAAAUAAGUACUCCCCAGAUUACUAUAGUCCAAGGGCACAGCUCUCAAUAAAGAGAAUGGCUUUUACUGAAACUUUUGCCAAAGAGGCAGACGAACAACUCUCAGCAACAAGAGAGAAGACUAUAUCAGAUUUGGGCAUAUGAGACUUACACGAGUAUAAUGAUUCAAUAAAGUGGAGCAUAACAAUCACUAACCAUUACCCCGAAGUAUGUCCUACAAAAUAGAAUGAAAUAAAACAAAAUCAGUCUGCAGUUACAAGCUGAGGGGAAAUGAAAGUGAAAAUACCUAACCACCUCACCUUAGUCAAAUGGUUGGCAUUGGAAGCAAAAUGUCUCACAUAAUCUGACUUUGGCAGCUGAGUCAACAUCAGAAUGUAACUUAGAUCAAAUACCAAUACAUCACAUUUAACUAAUAUGCUUGAAACAAACAGGAUUUCAACUAUAAAAAGAAAAUUACCCAAUUGUACCGUAAGUUUAUGGUAAAAACAGUUACUUAUUGACAGACAUUUCCAGAAGCAUUAAGGUAACAACAGGAGCCAACAAACAGAACAAAGGUAGUAAUGACAAAGAACAAAUAACUGGUUGAAUUAGUUGCUUCAUUUAAAGCCAGGAAGGGGAAAGGAAGAGAAGUGAUUUUUAGAAGGAAAAAAAAGGGUAACAGGAAAAUUAUAACUAGAAAGAGUAUGACUGGGGAUUCAAUCUCGUUUCUGACAGGUGAACUUUUCUAAUAUCACUGAAACUAAUCUUGCCUCCUCAUUUUAGAAGGCCAGAACCUGGAGAAAUCUACAACUCAAGGAUGUCAUUUGCAUUACAUUAUAUAGGCUAAGCACCGAAAAGAAAGGUCAGCAUAUCUUAAAUGAAGCUAAGAUAAAUUUUUCAUUCGGGAGGUUAAAUUCAUUCAUUGCAAUACUUUGGCACAAUGAGUUCAAUAGGAUCCAGGUCUCGUUAAUAUACCUCAAAGUGGCAACACUUUGAGGCAACAUGCAUUACCAUUACAUUGACAUUCAAGUUCUAUUGCAUUCAAUAUAAAACAACAAGUUUCUUCAAACAACCAUAAAACACACGAGGCACAAACUAAAUUUGAACUCAAACCACAACAAAAGCUGUAAAUAACCAACUUCAACUCCGAAGGCAAGUCGCAGUGUCUCAAAGUUACAAAGCUGAAACUAAAAAGGAAAAAAGACAAAUAUUUACCCUAGUGGCUGAAUUACCAAGUGCACUUCUUUGUGCAGCCAUGGAUGUUGAAAAGGACGCCAAACCCACAUCAGAUACUCCCUUAACAAUCUUUCUCUCCAAAAAUAAAGGCAGCCCAUUUUGAGAUCUCAAAAAACCGCUGCAUCUCCUAAUAUGUUGCAUCUUCUAAUACUACAAUAAAAACCCCUACCUUUUCUAUUUAGUAAAAAUAAAAAUAAAAAAUUUAACACAAAAACCAACUCGUAUAGCCUAAAAAAGGUUAAAAAAACCAAAUAAAAUAAGACCCAGAUGCUGAUAUUCAAGACCCAGAAAUCAUAUACUUCGACCCUGUAUUAAGAUAUCGAGAGAGAGAGAGAACCAAAAACCCAAUGGCAAGCAAUUUGGGGUUUUAUUGCAGACACGUGCAAGAAGAAACCUCACGUGUAAGAAACCCAAGAAGGCAAGAACCCACUAUUCUUUGGGCUCACUCCUCAAAACUUAGCCCGUAUAACGAAAGCCCGAAUUUGAACCGUAUGGCUUGUUUUCCUCUCCUUUUUUGUUCCCUCAAAAUCAGAGGAGAGCUAGCUAGCACCUAGCAGCUGCCAGAGAGAAAACUCAUACACAGCGAGGUAGGGAAAGAAGAAAGAAGGAAAGGAGUUGAAUUUGUUUAAAAAGAAUUUGGCUUGUCUUUUUAACACUACUGCUUUGCAGCAGCCCAGUUUUGUUGCUGGUAAGUUCUCUAUUUACAUAAAUAUGAAGAAACUCCAAGGCACCCUCGAGGCCAGGAGAAAAAUGGAGAAAAGUUGGAAAUUUUUUAACACUCAAUUUAGUGCAGUUUUUCUUCAUAGUUUUUUGUUUAUGGAUUCAUUUCUGUAUAGAGCUAUUUGUUUAGGAGUUGUUAAGAAGAGAACUUUUUCAAGGUGUACAAGAACUUGUAAGGAUUUUUUUUUAUAUAUAUAUUUUGGGUUGUUUUCCAAAAGUUUAGACACUAAGAUUAUGACAGGAAAUUUGAAGAUUGAUUCGUGCAUCCAUAGUCAAUAUGUUUAAAUUGUAAAGUCAUUAUGCUUGUUUUCUAUACAAAGGUCGGUUUUUUUAUGCUUGUUUUCUAUAUUUACAGUUUCAAGAUAAGUUGAUUACAGGAGUUGAUAUGAUAAAAUAGAUUAGUGGUGCUAUGAUUCAUUUUAAAAUUUUAAUAAUUCCAAGAUAUGUUGAUCCAAGGACUUGAUAUGAUGCAAUACACUGAUGGUACAAUUAUUUGUUCUGAUUUUGCAAUAGUCUGAAGAAUAACGAUUUUUUUUUUUGAUAAUUUUAGUAAGUUCAUCAAACUUGGGUUUGAUGAGAUGUCACUUUGUACAAGGUUAUAACCCUUCAACUAUUCACUGACCUAAUUUCUGUUAUGUGCAUUUUUAGAUGGCCAGAUGGGAUGAGAUUCUGUCCCUUCCUGUGCAGAAUCCUCCAACUUUGGAAUUCUCUGCUUCUGAUAUUGUGUGGUCAAAGGUUGAAGGUUGGCGUGACAAUUUGGAUAGACUCGCUCUUAUCCCUUUUGCUCGGGUGGAUGAUUUUGUAAGAGGUGAGUCUGCUAAUAAAGACUGUCCAACGAGAUUUCAUGUUGAAGCUAGAAGGCGUCGACCUCCACAAACAUCUUACAAGCAAAAGGUUGAUGGCAUCCUUGAGUACAUAUUGUAAGUUUCACUCUUCUUUUGGCAGCUCCUACUUAGUGGCCAUCAAUGCUGUGAGUUAAGUGAUCCAUUUGAAUUUUUAGGUAUUGGUGUUCUUUUGGCCCUGAUGAUCAUCGGAAAGGUGGCAUAGUACGGCCCAGUAGAACUACUUAUGUUCCAAAAAAGAAAAAUGCUGGUAGACCAAACACUAAGAGGGGGUGCACCUGCCAUUUUAUUGUAAAACGUUUAAUUGCUGAACCAUCUGUAGCACUGAUCAUAUAUAAUCAGGACAAGCACGUGGAUAAAAAAGGGUUACCAUGCCAUGGCCCUCGGGAUAAGAAGGCUGAAGGAACUCGUGCUAUGUUUGCCCCAUAUAUCUCAGAGGAUCUUCGGCUUCGUGUUUUAUCUUUACUAUAUGUUGGGGUCUCUGUGGAGACCAUAAUGCAAAGACACAAUGAAUCAGUAGAAAGGCAGGGCGGUCCAUGUAAUCGUGAUGACCUGUUGACACACAGGUAUGUGCGGAGGCAGGAAAGGAGCAUCCGCCGCUCUACAUAUGAACUGGACAGUGAUGAUGCAGUUAGCAUUAACAUGUGGGUUGAAAGCCACCAGAAUCAGGUAUUCUUCUUCGAGGAUUUUUCUGAUUCAGAGCCUUUCACUUUGGGAAUUCAAACAGAGUGGCAGUUACAACAAAUGAUUCGGUUUGGCAAUCGUGGUCUUGUGGCUUCUGAUUCAAGAUUUGGAACAAAUAAAUUAAAGGUUUGUCAUUUCAGUUAAUAUGGUCCAAAUCCUGUCUAACCAAAUAUCAAUUACAGUGCCUGCAUGGCUCUAUAUGUUUCAGAAACUGACUUUGCUCUUUUCUUUCAUUUUGUUUAGUAUCCUGUUCACAGUCUAGUUGUGUUCAACUCAGACAACAAGGCCAUCCCUGUAGCUUGGAUCAUAACACCAAGAUUUGCUAGUGCUGAUGCACAUAGAUGGAUGAGGGCACUUUACAACAGAGUUUGUAUGAAAGAUCCUUCGUGGAAGUUGGCUGGCUUUAUAGUGGAUGACCCUUUGACAGACAUCCUCACAAUAAGGUUGGCAGUUCCACUUUCUUUAUGUGAAUUCGAUGAUUUUUUCUUCGUGGUCAUUUUUAGUUGUUUUACAGAGUGUUCCAAGGGUCAUAUGGCCCAUAUCCAUGGGUUUUGCAGGGAUUUGGUAUUUUUUUAAUUCUGUAUCCUGAAAUUUAGAGUUCAGUACAAGCAAUGAUUGAUCCCUUGAGAUCUCUGGUACCUUAAAAUUUGCUUGACACGGUAUUGCUUCAGACUUUCUGCUUGAGGCACCAACUGUUGUCUACCAUUGUGAUCUUAAAGGACACUUUAGAGCCUGUUUGGAAACGCGGUUCAAACCGCGUUCUCUCAAAAUUUGAAUUUUUUUUUCUUAAUUUUUUUUUUAUGUUUUCAGAUUUUUUUGAUGUGUUGAUGUCAAAAAUGAUUUUUAAGAAAUAAAAAAACAUUAGUUUGAUGCAUUUCUAAGCAAAAAACACUUUGAAUCGCAACCGCUACCACAUUUCCAAACACAUAUUAAUAAAGUGCUUUUUAACACAUGUAGAGCUGAACUGCAAUGCUUGGUGAAAUGCUCUUAAGAAUUUGUAAGAUGAGAUCUGUGGAGAUUAUUUCAGAUUCUCAAUCUGAGCAAAGAUCUGGGACUUGGCAGUUUAGAUUGAUUGUGUUGUGGACGUGAUGUGUUGGUCCAGGCAAAUAGAGAAUAGUUUUUGGCCUCCGUGUUUCCUUUUUGGAUGAUAUAUAUCUAAACAAAAACUUCAUUUUUUUACCUUGUUCUCAGGGAGGUGUUUCAGUGCUCUGUGUUGAUAUCUUUUUGGCGAGUUCGCCAUGCAUGGCAUAAGAAUCUAAUAAAGAGGUGCAUGGAAACAGAGAUGCGGGUUCAGAUAUCAAGACGGCUUGGACAGACAGUAGAUGAUAUUUGCAGAGGACAAGGAACUGUACAUUUGUUUGAAGUUCUCAUGGAAGAUUUUGUUGAUGGCUCUAGUUUUAUGGAUUACUUCAAGGCAACGUGGUAUCCUAGAAUAGGUUGGUAAAUUUCUCUUCUUUUCUUUUCAAUAGUAAUUAAGAUAGCAUAAACAGGCUGUACACAUUUCUAGCUUUCUUCUCAAUUUCCCUGAGCUGGUUUGCAAAUGGGCCUCAUAUCUCAAUUUGGAAGAAGAUCAACUUGGCUGCGUGUGAUAAAAUAUGUGGAGUAUCGCUAUAGAAUCUUGGAGUUAGUUGGGUUUUUUACAAAACUCUUUAUUUCGGAAAACUAAAAAUAAUAUUUCCUUGUAUCAGGGAGUUGGACUACUGCACUAAAAAAUCUGCCAUUGGCAAGCCAAGAGACUUGUGCAGCAAUGGAAUUUUACCACAGGCAAUUGAAAGUGAGGCUCUUGAAUGAGAAGAAUCCUGGUGUUUAUCAACGGGCUGAUUGGUUGGUUGAUAAGUUGGGUACAAAAGUGCAUUCCUACUUCUGGCUUGAUGAAUACUCAGAAAGGGAUGAUUUUGCAAGAUACUGGAAAGAUGAAUGGAUCAGUGGUUUAACAUCUUGGCGAAAAGCAUUGAAGAUUCCAGACUCUGAUGUUGUCGUGGAAUAUAGAUGUGCAAAAGUCACUGACCAGCUUGAUCGAGACAGGGUUCAUGUUGUCUGGAACCCUGGUUCAGAAUUUGCUAUUUGUGAUUGCAAGUGGGCGGAAAUGGGCAACUUGUGUGAGCAUGUCUUUAAAGUUAUUAAAUUAUAUCGUGAUAAAGGGAGUAGAAAGUCAUCUAUUAGCCUAUUUCAGUAUAAUCAGGCCCUGAUCAACAUGCUACGCUGCCCACCUUAUGAUUGUUUGAUUCGUGAUCAUGCUGCUUCUCUAGCAGUUGCUGUGCAGAAGCAAUUAGAUGGAAUAGUUAAUUUAGAUGGCAGCCAGACUAAUGCAGAUACCACUGAGAAAAAAUCUGCAAACUCACUUGAGCAGCAGGUGGUCUGUGGGACCGAUUCUUCAAAUCAAGAUAAAGAAGUAGUGAAUGCGAAUCAUCAUAUUGACAAAGAUCUGCCAUCUUACACUGAGAAUGAUUGUCAGGAAAGAGAUGCACAUGAGAUUUCUCGUGGUGUUACAGGUGAUUUUGUUGAUGGUGUUAGAGAAGAAUCGGCUUGUGCUCGGAUGGAUGUUGACCCAUCGUCCAACUGCAUUUCUCCACCCGGAAUCAUCAUAUUGACCGAUUCUUCUCUACGUUCUGUUGAUGAUGUCACUCGGAAUCAAGUUGAUUUAGAUAGCAACCAGAGUGCUGUGGAUGCCACUCAGAAACAAGCUCUGGACUCCCUUGAGCAGCAGAUGAGUGGGACAAACUUAUCAAAUCAAGCUAGAGAAUUAGUGAAUGAGAAUGAUCGUAUGGACAAAGAUGUGUCAUCCCUUUACAGGAAUGAUCAUCAGGUCAGACAUGAGGCUUCUGGCAGUCAUAAAGGUGAUUUUGUUGAUGGUGUUGGAGAGCAGGUUGCCUGUCCUCAGAUGGAUAUUGACCAGCCAACCACCUGUAUUUCUCUGCCUGGAUUACUUUCUGUUAAUGAAAUUGCUUCUAAUGAAAGCUUUGAAAAUGGAGACAGGAUUAUAAAUAAUGCAGUUUCUGACACGAGCAAGAGUCCUCCUUCUCAUGAUGUUUCGACUGAUCAAGUCAGGCAUGAACACAAUAGUGUAAUGGAUGUGAGACCAUUAUCCAUUGAUAUCCCUUCAUCAAUGGAGUCCAUGGAGCAAUGUGAGGUGACUACUCAAAAUGUUUCUCGCAACAAGGAUCCUAAGCCAUUAGUGAGUACUAAUACAGCAGAUGCAAGUAUUGACAAGGCUUCUGAUGCACAAAUGAUUGAUACAGUUCAAUCUUUGAUGGGAAACACAGAUAAUGAAAUGAUGAAACCAGAAAGUGAUGGUGGAAGCAGGACUGAGAGCCACGGAUGUGAUGAUAAUGCCUUCUCAUUAAAAGGGGUUUGUGAUAACAAGGCUAGUAAUUCAAAUCUUCAUCACGAUGCUAAAGCAGUUGACAGCCUGAACUCAGAAUCAUUGGCAAGUUCCUUACCAAUAUCGAGGUGCAUUGAAGAACAACCUUCCGGUAAGGUUGAAACUGAAGGAGCUGGUUCUUUCAAGAAGCCAUCUCUUAGUGAUAAAUUGGUUUUUACUAGACGUACACGUCAAAAGCGUGUUGCAAACGACAAAAGUGAAAAUUAGAUUGCCACUACCAACCAGCUGGUUACUGUAAAUGAUGUCAUUUCAGAGGGAACUGGCUCAGGACAAAUUGCUGAUGGCUUGGUGGCAAGUAGUCUCUGAUAAAGGCCAUAGAGUUGCUUGUGUUGCAGCUAGUGAUGGCUAGCUCUUGCUGAUCUGUGUAAUCAAUUUUCUCUCUCCCCCUUUUUUCACUUGUAGUUGUACAUAUACUCCUAAGCAAUUCUUUGUGACAUUAUGUUGAUUUACCUGGUGAGAGAAUUUAACAUAUUUAGACAGAGCCUCUUCAUAGAGUCACUGUAGAAUCUUGUUCUUAGCAACAAAUAAUUGUCUGAAGGAAGAGCAAAUGCUUGAAAAAGUUUAUGGGGUGGAAGCGAGAAGAAACUCAGUUCAUGUCUUUACAUGCAGCCGAUUGAAAUGCUAGGUGAUGCUUUCGAAAAACAAUUAUUUGGUUGCUGUUCUAAUACAGAUGAUACAGAAAGACGGGGAUAGAAAAGAGAUAUUUUUUUAUUUUAAAAAUAUAAAAAUCUCGUUAAUUUAUUAAAUUUUCUUUGUUUUUCUCCCCAACUAAAAUAUUUUUUUCUCUCUUUUAUAUCUAUUUUUUUUCUGUUAUAUAUAUAUAUAUAUUUUUUUUUUGUCAUAGGACACUAAUUAAAUACAACAUUAACUCCAUCUCUGGCAUUUACUAUUGACUCCAUCUACGAUCAGAUUUUAAAACAAGCCAUCUAUAUUGAUUUUCCUACAUUUUUUUCAUUUUGCAAACAUUAUUCGAAUUAGAAUUUAAAUUUAUAAAAUAUAAAGUAAAAUCAUUUACCAUCUAAACCAAUACCUUAAAAUAUAUUUUUUUUCCCCGCUUUAAAUCUAGAUGUUAAAAGGAAUUUUAAUUAAAUUGCUAAAUUAAAAAGAAAAGGAAAAGAAAAAAAACCCAGUUUACUUUAAAUACAAACCUGGGCCUGGUCCGGGCCUGAAUCUCAAAGAAAAUUUGGACCCAUGGUUAGAAGAAACAGGGACAUAAAAGUAACUUCAAAAUCACUUUGAACUAGAGAGAAAGUCGGAGAAUGUGGGCAUGUUAGUGGGGAGGGUUGUGGCAAUAACCGCCUUAACCGCCACUUCCCCAAAAACAAAGAACAAAAAAAAGAAGCACGCUUCUUUUUCAUCUUCAAAAACAUCACAGACUCCUGUGUCGCAGAGAGAGUCUAGCAGCAAGAACAACAUAAGAGAGAGAAAGAGACAGAGAAGCAAGUGUCUAGUUGUCAGAAAAUGGAAGGAUUUAAGAAAGAAGAAAUAAGAAAAGGGCCAUGGAAAGAGGAAGAAGAUGAAGUACUGAUUAACCAUGUUAAAAAAUAUGGUCCCAGAGAUUGGAGCUCCAUUCGAUCCAAAGGCCUUUUACAUAGAACUGGCAAGUCUUGUCGUCUUCGCUGGGUUAAUAAGCUUAGACCCAACUUGAAAAAGUAAGUAUCAAAUUAACUUAGUUAAUUACAUUUUCAACUUGUUGCAAUUUUACAUGCAUGCAGUGAUAAAUUAUCAUGAUUUUGAUCCUGGGUUGUUUCAGUUUCUCUUUGUUUUUAGUCCAUUGCAGUAAUGUGUGAUUUUCCAGAGAUGGGAUUUCCUCUUGAUUUCUUAUUUCUUUUUUUGGUUGUGUCUGUGUGUGUGUGGUUUUAUAGUGGGUGCAAGUUUUCAGCAGAGGAAGAGAGGGUGGUUAUAGAUUUGCAGGCAGAAAUUGGGAACAGAUGGGCAAGAAUCGCUACGUAUUUGCCGGGAAGGACUGAUAAUGAUGUGAAGAAUUUCUGGAGUAGUAGACAGAAGAGGUUGGCUAGGAUUUUGCAGACUUCAGGAACACCACCUUCCUCUUUUAAUUCCAAACAACAGAGGAGUAAAAAUAAAGUUCCUGUCUUUCUGGAUGUUCCCACAUUCGAGGUAGUUGGAAAUAUUUGCAUCAUCACUUGCUUUCAAGAAAAUUUUGGGAUUUUUUAGUUGCAGAAAAAAAAAAAAAAAAGUGUUUCUUCUCUGGUCUCUGUUGAGGACUUCUGGUAGUAUUUGAUUAUUUGACUCUAUGAAAGGUUUUUUCAGUAAUUUUUUUUUACCUGUUGUGGAAGGACAAUUUACUUUCUUCUUGUUUUGUUAUGUGUUAAGGCUCCAAUGUUCAGUUCUUCAAUGGAGGAAGAGGUAUCCUCAAAGGCUUGCUCAUCAUCCUACUUGGAGAACCCUGAACAGAUAAGAAUGAUGCCAUUACCGCCAUUGGUUAAAUCUGAGUUGCCAGGCUGUGAUGCAAAUCUUGUUCAAUACGAGCCUAUGUCUGGAAUUCCCUUUCCUCAAAUCCCACAGCCCCAGCCAGACCUAGUAUUCUCCCCAGAAAGCCAUGAACUCCUGGCUAGGCUGGAUGACCCUUACUUUCUCAAUGUGCUUGGAACAAUAGACGCUCCUGAACUCGGAGAUACAGCACAAUUUUCACUUGGGCCUCCAUUGUUUGAUCCAGUAUCAAGUUGUAUGAAUAGUCCAAGUGAUGUAAAAAAUCCUGUGACCCCAGAUACCCUCUUCGAUGAGUUGCCACCGGACAUGUUUGAUCAUAUUGAGCCGUUUCCAAGUCCUUCAGAGUGGUGAAAGACUGAUCACAGGGCUGUUUUUAUGUGGGUGUAGAAGGAUGAUUUAUUGAAUAGUUUCUUCAGGUGAAAAAUUUGGCAUGGCUCUUAUGAAAUUGUUGGUCAUUUGACUGCUAUACUUUGUACUAACUCCAGAACUAUAAAUGUGACGGUUUGCCACUAGUCUCUCUCUCUCUCUGAUAAAGAUGUGAAAUUGACUGCUAAACAUAAAAUUCCAGCCCGUUCGUGCUAAUUUCAACGGCUAAUCUUCUUUUUUUUUUCUUUUUCAUCUACUUUAUUUAUUUAUUGGCUGUUCAGUGAGUCGCAGAACCCGAGGUACAGAGCAAGUGUUGCCUUGUCGGGUGUAGCAUCACCAUGUCUCUUUCACUCUCUUUUACUCGACUUAUACCAGCAUCGCCAUGUCUCUUUCACUCUCUUUUACUCAUUCUCUACCGGCAUCAACAUCCGAUAGAUGGCAAGGUUGUACUAUUGUGGGUGAUCUAGACGUACAGAAGUACCCCCUUUUUUUCAUGAUGGUUGAAAGCAAUGUUCAAGAGAAGUAAAACAGCUUAUUAUACAAACUCUUUCCCUCUUAUAAAGUUGGACAGGCUUAACCCCUCACAUCACCGAUAUGUUAAAAGAAAAUAUAAAGCUGAGCUCAACCCGUCUAUCCUACGGUAAAAAAAAAAAAAAAAAAAAACCAUCAGAACAAGGAAUUCAACAUUUUCCGCAGAAAGGGAUUCAAACAACAUUUUCCCAAAGAAAAGUUUCCGCAAUCGAUACAAUAACAAUUCAAUUCUCUGAUGAAACAACGAUAUGCAAUUGACUUGUGUAAUCAAUUUGCCCUAAAUUAAAAAUCCCUUUGAUCAGAGUUCUAGUAAAAAACACAAACAAGUGCAGCUUAAAACAGCCUACAAAGAUUGACGGAAGGCAUGUCUAAAAUGGUGUUUGGUAUAGAAAAAAGGUCACAUAGCAUCAUCCAUGGCACCGUUGGCCACAGGGAUUUUGUAACCAAUGCCGGUUCUACCAUUAUGAGUAAGCACCUCAAACUCUCCAGCAGUAAAUGACUUGUUUUUGUGGAAAACACGUCUUCUUAGUUGCGAAUAUGCACAGUACUCUACAGCAUCAACUGUUAUGUCUUCCAAAAAUGCAGAAACUGAAACUCCUACUCCUUCCCCUGAAUUUACAAGAAAGAGGUACAUCAGAAGACCUCACAUGAUUAUUUCUUAAGCAUGCAGCAAAAAGUUUUGAAGACUUAUUUCAUGCAUUUCCUACCAGACCUUGAGGGAAUUGGGUGUUGCAGAUUAGCAAACAGGAGAUAAUUAAAACUAGGCCAGCCAAAUACUGAGCUUACCGUGUGUGACAAGCAGCAAGUUUUCUGAAGGGUAUUUAUCUGCGAGCGUCUUAAUAACUCGUUCAUAUCUAGUCCUUGCACCCAUCACAGUCUCUUCCCAUUGUGGCAGCUACAAUUCCUCAAGAAAAUAACCAAAUAUCAGACAUGAUGACGUGCAACGUAGGCAUGUACCUUAUUACUCUUUAAUGCUCUUUUCCCUUAACCAAACAGUGUUUCCUAUACUUACCUCUUCAUACACUGGUUUCACAGCACGAUCCACUGUCCCCGCUGGUAGCAAGGCUUGAAGCUCUGCGAUAUUGAAUCCAAAGUUCCCAUCUUUGGGCACGGAAACACGCCUAAUGGCUUCCCUAUUCAACAUCUCACACAAACCAUACUCAAUAGAGACCUGAAAAUGUACAAUCAACAGUUAAAACACAAAAGCCUUAAAACAAAUGGAGAUCCAGUCAAACAACAUGAACACCAAAAUAACUACAAUCAACGAUACCAUUACACAAACGAAUAAAAUAUGAAAAAAAUAAAAAAAAUGAGACCCCAAAUGAAUAAUUAAUUACUAAGUUAGCAUGAACUUUCAGAAAGAUUUAAGCUCCCAAAUGCCAUUAUCAAUUCCAUUAACAUCUUAUAUAAAUUUCUAAAUACGUUUCCAAAACUAACUAGUAAAAAAUAUAUCAAAUCCUUCAAGAGUAUACAUGAAAAUAAUUGAAAUUGAAAUUUAUUUUGAACUGAGCUCGAGAAGCUUCAUUCAUUUCAUAGUACUUAUCAAAGUACAUAGGUCACUGUUUCAUUGAUUUUGACUAAAACCCGACCGGAUACGCAACCAAGUCUCGGUUCACUAAGGCUAGCAUUAAAAAAAAAAAAAACGAAUACUUAGCUCUCUAUUAAGUCAUCAUUUAUAAUCAUAUACUUAAAAACAAAACAAACUUAAAAAGUUCCUAAUCAUUUAUAAUCUAAACAAAAAAAAAAAAAACUUAAAACCAUGAUCAUCAGUAAUCAACCAACUUAUCUAGCUAAUCAGUUCCUUAUCAUUUAUAAUCUAAACAAGUUGCCGUAUUGUAAAUGUGAAAACGGAAAAAAAGAGAACACCUGCCUUGAGUUUAGAGGGAUCGAUGGCGACACCGUGGCUACUAAAAAUGUCAGGCCCAUCGUUGACUGCGCAGAGGACGGAGACAACCUCGGAGGCGGUCUGGAUACAACGGAGGAAAGGAGAAACAAAGACCCGAUGGAUUGGGAAGCCAAGAUUGGUUUUAAGUUUCCGACCCGUACGAAAAGCUCUUAACCGACCCGCUUCUACAAGAGGUGGGUCCCAUGGUCUAGUGGCAGUUGUGAUCCAUGAUGGCUCGAAGUUAUCGAUUCGGUCACCGUGUCUCAUGACGACAACGUUUUGCUGGUGUUUAACAUCGUUAUUUUCAGGUGAGGUAGGGUCCAUUGUUGUUUUUGUGGACGUGAGCUCGGAGUGUGGAGGUUUAAGAGGAAAUGUGUUAUAUAUAGACAGAGGAACGAGAAAACGUUCUUUUAAGUGUGUUUCGUGGAAGAAGAACAUGUAGCGUAAGAACAUGUACACUCCCAUCCUAUCAUUUUCUUAUUCCACUUUCCUUCAAAUUUCUCUCUCUCUCUCUCUCUCUCUCUAUAUAUAUAUAUAUAUAUAUAUAUAUAUAUAUAUAUAUAUAUAUAUAUACUUUAUUAAAAAAUAAUAUAAAUCAUAUUUUGAAACCUUAUCUAAUAACUUAAUUAAGCUAUUGGGUUGAAUUGUUUCUUUAACAUGAUAUCAAAGUUUUGAUGGCCAAGCGAUCACGAGUUCGAAUCUCACCAUCUCUAUUUAUUUGAUAAAAAGUUAAGUACAAGGUAAUAUAGAUCUAUGUAAGUUUCAAGCUCAAAGGGCUUUUACUUGAGCGGGUAUAUUAGAGAAUAAUAUAAAUCAUAUCUUAAAAUCUUACCUAAUAGUUUAAGCUAUUGAGUUGAAUUGGUUUUUGACAUAUAGGUUAAAAAAUAAAUGAUAAGAUUACUAUUUAGAUUAGUUUUUGUUUAUUUAAUAUGUUUUGGAUUAAAAUAUAAUUAAUUAUUACUGUUUAGGGGUAGGAAAAAAACAAAAUAUGUUUUUUUAUCUUGAAGAUGUAAAAAAAUCAUUCUAAAAACAUAUUUUAUAUCUCCAAUUAAAUAUAUUUUUAUUUUUAUUUGUUUUUUCUUUUUCAAAAUAUUAUCCAAACAAAAUCUUAUAUUUCACUUUUAUAACGGUAAGAUGCAAAGUUUUGAUGUAUGGUAUAAAGAUCCACGUGUGUAAAAUGAAUUUAAAAUAUUCGUCUUUGUUUUAAAGGUUUUUGAGUUAGUCAACCGUCAAUGAUGGCGUGUGCAGCAAUUUCUUUUUUUUGUAGUUUUUUUUGUCAAAUUCAAAAUCAAGAAGUAAUAUUAUGAAACUGUUGUUUGUCUAAGGGUUUUUUUUUAAGAUUAUUGAGAGAUUGUAUUUUAAAGUGUUUUUUUAUUUAAAAAUAUAUUAAAAUAAUAUUUUUUUAUUUUUAAAAUUUAUUUUUGAUGUAAAUUCAUCAAAAUAAUCCAAAAAUAUUAAAAAAUUAAUUUUAAAUAAAAAAAUUAAAUUUUAUACAAAUGAUAUUUUGAACACACUAGUGAUUUGAAGACUUAAGAAGUAAUGAAUAUCACUAAGGUCUUUCAUAUGAAAAGUGGCAGAAAGGUGAGCAAUAAUCUUGAUAAUUUGUGAAGAGAAACUUCUUGUUAAAAGUAUAUCAUCAACAUAAUAAGUAAAAGAAGAAUGUCUUAUUCUUGAGUUUGAUAGAAUAAAAAUUGAUCAUACGGAUAUCGUUUGAAACCCAUCUGCUGGAUAUAAGUACUGAAUCUUAGGUACCAAGCAUGAGGGGCUUGCUUUAAACCGUACAAAGCUUUAUGGAGAUGACAAACAUGAUCAUGAUGAGAGGAACCCUUGAAACAUGAGGGUUGAGCCAAGUAUAUUUGUUCUUGUAAGUCACCAUGAAGAAAGACAUUACUAACAUAUAGUUGUUUGACAUACCAGCCUUGAGAUAACCUAAUGGUAAGGAUUAACCAAAUAGUACUUGGUUUGAUUACUGGACUACAGGUUUUAGCAUAAUCUAGACUUGAUAAUUGUGUAAAUCCAUGAGCCACUAGUUGAGCUUUAUACCUUUCAAUAAAGCCAUCUGACCGUGUUUUGAUUUUAAACACUCAUUUACUGCUAACAACAUUCAUGUUUGGUUGUCUAGGUACCAAUGUCUAGGUUUUGUUGGUGUGAACAACAUCCAUUUCAACUUGCAUUGCUUGUUGCCAUUGCGGAUGACAAAGAGCAUGUUGAAGUGAAGGUGGUUCUUGUGGUUGAGCUGCAAGAUGAGAAAAAAAGCAAGCAAGUAUUGGAUGUCGUAAAGAGAAGAAUACCUUGGGUUUCAGCUUCUAUGUUUGAGCUCGUGUAAUCCUAUGAUGAUGUCGUUAUGAAGCAGUUCGGUGGUAAAACAUUGAACUCUGGUGCAGUGGAUGGAGAAAUAUGUCCAGGAAUUGGAGACUGAGGUGUUGACACACCUUGGAUAGUCGUUGCUGGAACAUGAUGUAUUACUUAUUGAGCUAAAAUAGGGGAUUUUUCUGUCAAGGUCUUGAAUAGUUGAGGAAGUUCUCUAACUUUAAACAACUGAAAAGCAUGUGUGCUAGGUUCCUGCAUGCAUCUAUAGGGAAAUUGAAAUUAAUUGAAUUUCACAUGGAGAGAUAUAUAGAUGCGACUUGUCUGAGGUUCAAAACAACGAUGUACUUUGUGAUUGUUUGAGUAACUAGUAAAAACACACCAUGUAGACUUAAAGUCCAAUUUUGAUCGACCAAAUGGUGCAAGUAAUGGGUAGUAAGAGCACCCAAGAACUCGUAGAGAUUCAUAAGCAGGAGUAGAACCAAAAACCAUUUCAUGAGGUGACUUGUAACCAAGAAUUGAAAUAGGCAAUACAUCAUAUUCUUGAGAAUAAAUCCCAAUAGAUAAAAUAGAAAAUAACAGUUAUUAUCUCUUGUAAAUUGAGAGACAAACAACAAUUUCUUCUUAAUUGUAGGAGCUACAAGAACAUUAUUUAGCUUAAGAUUAGUAGUAGGAAAAAAUAAUGUGUCUAGUGCCAGUGAUAAGUAAGUCAUGACCAUUGCUAACCAUGACAAAAUCGUUGCCAAGACAAGGGUUAAUACCUUGUACUUCAUU
Molecule: long non-coding RNA, 50294 nt
Filed under: Populus trichocarpa (black cottonwood)
Lineage: Eukaryota; Viridiplantae; Streptophyta; Magnoliopsida; Malpighiales; Salicaceae
Description: long non-coding RNA (PTRI_LNC003246)
Source: RNAcentral